This 70791-nucleotide long non-coding RNA is filed under the name Coffea arabica (coffee). Its description in RNAcentral is "long non-coding RNA (CARA_LNC001951)". The record is from RNAcentral. Lineage: Eukaryota; Viridiplantae; Streptophyta; Magnoliopsida; Gentianales; Rubiaceae.
UAGUGUCACCACCAAUUAAACAUUUUUAUUAGUCAACUGGAUUUCCUUUCAUGCUGAUAGGCCCUUUAUUCUCUUUUGUGACAUUUAGUUUAGGACACUUUUUGACAAUGAAGAGACUCCAGCCUUCUAUUAUCUUUACGUGAAUAAACCUGCUAAAUUGUAAUACAUUUGUUUGUGCACCGCCUUUUUUGUGUACCUUCUAGAUGAUUAUACAGAUAUCUCUUUUAUCACUUUUAUUUACUUUGGAUGUGGCUUUAUAAGCGAUUGAGAUGCUGUCCAAAAUCUUCUGCUGUGAAUUUAAACAAUGCUCUACUGCGACUGUGACAGUUCUUAUAACUCUAAACCCCAAUUUUUCUUUCUUCCCUGCUAUUAAAAAUGGAAGGCUUGGGUAGUUCACUUUAAAACCUGAAGGUCCAUAAAAGCAUCGUGAGAAAUGAAUGAUGCUCAGAAAUAUGUGUGAGUUCUGCAUCCAAACAGUAUUGUCAAACAAAUGGCUAAAAAUUAGAAACACAGCUUCUACCACAACAAUAAUAAACACCAAGAGUGGGAAAAGACAUGAUUUUAUAAAACACAAAAAGAUGCAGUAAUAAUAUUCAUUACCUACAUAAUGUGAAGCUUCAUCUACUUUUGCAAUACUUGCUUUACAUGACAAAAGUAUUCAUUUCAAGGCUUCAAGCUAGCAAAGACCACCACCCACAAACAUACAGCAAAAGUACCCAAGAUUGCCUUUGUAUAACACCAUGCAAAACCUAGCUAUAUUUCUCCAUCCAUCAAAGUUAGCACAGUUGUGCUCAUGACCAUCAAAGUUGGCAGUGUCCCUCUGGAAAGAUUGGGUAAAACACCCUGAAUAUGUUUGAAACAUCUCAGUAGAUGUAUAGAAACAGUCAAUCAAAUCAAAAGAACAUUUUCGUAGAAUCCUGCAAAAUUCUAAUAGUAUGAGAUCUUGUAAAUAUCAAAACCCCCCACAGGAACAAGAUCGUUCAUUCAAUUUCACCACAUUUGCCUGAUCCCCCUGAUUAUCAAUACUCCUUGUUGUUUUAAGUGUAUGGCAUCCCAAAUGCGACGUUAAAGAAGCAGCUGUUCGUACUUUAGACUUUAGUGUGUGAAGCCGCCUAUUGAAGGUUUAAGAGCCCAAAACACGGAUUUAAACACCUUGAAAUCCCCCAUGCUUGUUUUAUCAUGCCUCCACUCCACAACAGUCCCGAGGUUGUACUGUUGCAAUGCAUUUAGAUAUCUAUACAGUUUCCAUUUAACAGGACAAACGCUUUUUGCCCCUCCAUCAGUGCCUUCUUGUAGGAAAUAUCCACCCCAAAUCUCCAGUACUUCAGUCUCAUCAACUGCACCUUGAUGAGAAGACACAGCAACUUUGAUGGCCUCCUUCUCUAUAUACAGUUCAACAACUCUUUGAGGUGGAAAGUUUGACGGUAUAUCCGACACGAUAUCCAACCCUUCAUCAUCCUCAACUGGAAUAGCAAAAUACUUGAUGCAAUUGGCUGUAUAAGACAUGGGAUAUUGACAUUUCAAUUUAAUUCGAUACUCAUUUUUGUCUAUCCCAUUCCCAGUCACAGUGUUCAACUUGUUAAGCAAUUCAACAAUUGAUGUUCUACGGGCCAACUUGAUUAUUCAUUUAGGACUUGCAUCACGUUCAACACCACAGUGUCCUUCCUUUAGUCCACCAUUCCAAUGCAGAACAACCUUUACGUCAAUAUCUUCCAAAUCUUUUCUCCUCACCUUGAAUGAAAAUUUAAUGCUAAUUACUUCAGUAGACAAACAGGCAUAUAUGCUUGCAUUAAAAUUUACUUCAUACUCUUCAUUUACCAGAUAUAUUUAUAAAUAAGCUCCCAACUAAGCCAUAAACAAAUUAGUUCCUAUCUAACCUGACUGACAAAGAAUUCCCAAGUUUAAACUUAGCAUGAUAGCUUAUCAGGCCAUCUCAAAUCAUACCAUCAUCAGUAAUUCUCAGGAAAGAUCGUCGAAACAAUCUCCUUAGACAGAAUUACCAUUCCAAAUAAAUUCCUAGGAAAUGCUGGAGGGGUCACAAGCGGUCCACUUAAAAUCCAGUUUCCUAGACAGAAUUUACGUGCACGGUGUAUUAUCACAACUAGACCCGUGUAUACAUAAAUAUUACGUACACACGAAUAAGAAAAUAUACCCAAAUGAAUCGUAUAAAAUACUACAAAUAAAUCUGACAAAUAUAGACAAAUAUAUUGAAUCCUAUACUUCAAUAGAAAAGAAACUACUAAAUAAGUGCGGAAUAAAUAAAAGAGAUAAGGAAAAAACGCAUCCGAAAAAUUGAUAAUGGAGUUCGGCAAAUUUUGCCUAAUCUCCGAGCACCACUCAAGCGACCCGCUCUUAUAAAUUUAGGAGAAAAAAGAAUUUCAAAAGAAUUACAAAAUCCUUUUUGGUGUAAUUCUUUUGUUGGUGUUUGGUGUAAUUGAAUUGAUUUAAAUAACUCUCAAGCCCUUACCAAAGCUCUCAACUCUACCAAUGUGGGAUAGAAAUCGAUGCCACAAAUUCAACAAUUGUGACUUGAAAAAGUCUACAAUUUAGGUUUUGAAUUCAACAAAUCUCCACCUUGGCAUAAUUUCUAGUCUCACCAAAAAAAUACAAAUCUUCUCACAAACAAAAAAUAACAAAUGGUCCUUGCGGUACCUUCAAAUUUGCGCUCUCAGGCGCCAAUUCAAAUGUGCAGGAUAUUAACCAAGUUUAGACAAUGUUCAAACUUGACUCUUGUAACCACCUUGGUCAGCAUAUCUACAGGAUUCUUUGUAGUCCGAAUCUUCUGGAGAAAAAUCUCUUCUUCAUCGAGAAUUUCCUGCACAAAGUAAUAGCGAACAUCAAUGUGUUUCGUUCUUGCGUGCAAGACCUGGUUCUUUGCUAAGUAAAUAGCAUUCUGACUGUCACAAAACACGUCAAUGUGUUUUUGACCAACUCCCAAGUCUUCAAGCAAUCCUUGAAGCCAAAUUGCCUCCUUCACAGCUUCUGUAAUCGCCAUAUACUCUGUCUCCGUUGUAGACAAAGCCACCGUUGAUUGCAAAGUAGACUUCCAAUUAACUGGCGCCUUAGCAAACGUGAACAAGUAGUCAGUUGUAGAACGUCGCUUAUCCAAAUCACCUGCAUAGUCAGAAUCACAAUAUCCAACUACACAUUGGCCAAGUGAUUAUCCUGCUCAAAUACUAAUCCAACAUCUACGGUAUUUUGGAUAUACCGUAGAAUCCAUUUCACAGCUUGCCAAUGACCCUUGCCCGGAUCAUGCAUAAACCUACUUACUACACCAAUUGCCUGUGAAAUGUCGGGUCUCGUACAUACCAUUGCAUACAUCAAACUACCAACUGCAUUAGCAUACGGAACUUUCGCCAUGUAUGCUCGCUCUUCAUCCGUCUUUGGAGAUAAUAGGCUGCUAAGUUUCAAAUGAGGAGCAAGCGGAGUACUUACAGGUUUUGAAUCUUCAUUCAUACCAAAACGUUGUAGUACUUUAUUCAAAUACUGCUUCUGUGUCAGACAAAACUUGCCUCUCGUUCUAUCCCUACUUAUCUCCAUGCCGAGAAUCUUCUUGGCUUCUCCCAAAUCCUUCAUCUCGAACUCUUUACUCAACUGAGCCUUCAUUUUGUAAAUUUCAACUUAGCUCUUUGACGCUAUUAGCAUAUCAUCAACAUACAAGAGUAAGUAGAUGUAGGAAUCAUCUCGUAGCUUGCGCAAAUACACACAAUGAUCGUAUUUGCUUCUUGUGUACUUCUGACCUAUCAUGAACUGGUCAAAUCGUUUGUACCAUUGUCUCGGUGAUUGUUUCAAUCCGUACAACGAUUUGCUCAGCUUACAAACCCAAUUUUCUUUACCAGCAACUUUAAAUUCAUCUGGCUGAGACAUAUAGAUUUCCUCCUUCAAGUCACCGUGAAGGAACGCGAUCUUCACAUCAAAUCGAGAUAGCUCCAAAUUCAACUGUGCUACCAAGGCCAAUAAAAUUCUAAUAGUAGCCUUUAGCCACCAAUCUUGCUUUGUAACAAACAUCAUUCUUGUCAGAAAAUCUUUCUUUCUUUGCAAAUAUCCAUUUGCAUCCAAUUGCCUUCUUGCCCUUCAGUAGUUGUGUCAACUUCCACGUCUUGUUCUUCUGAAGAGAUUGCAUAUCUUCUUCCAUAGUAUCUUUCCAUCUAUCAUUUUCUGUAUUUCGAACUACUUCAGAAAAUGUGGAUGGAACAUCAUCAACAACUGAAAGUGCAAAAACCACCAUGUCAACAAAACGAGCAGGUUUAUGAAUUUCUCGUCUUGCCCUAUUAACGGCAAUUGACUCUUGCUGCUGUUGAGGUUCUUGGGUUGAAACCUCUUCCUCAUCUGACUCCUCUUCUGCCAUGAGAGAGUCACUGAUGGUGCUGUUUGCUGGACUCACCAUUAUUUGUUCAAACUCCACCUGUUUCGGCGUACACUCCACAUGUUGCGGAGUACCACUGGUCCCAUCUUCUGCUACCUUAUUCAAUAUGACAGAUUCAUCAAAGGUAACAUCCCUGCUGAUAAUGAUUUUCUUUGCUUCUAGACACCACAACCGGUAUCCCUUAACUCCAGCAUUAAAGCCCAUAAAGAGAGCCUUCUUUGCACGUGGAUCCAAUUUUGAUUCAUUUACAUGAUAAUAUGCAGUAGAAUAAAAAAUACGCAAAGAAUCAUACUCUGUUGCAGGUUUUCCAAACCAUACCUCUAAUGGAGUCUUGCCACCGAUUGCAGAUGAUGACAAGCGAUUAACGAGAUAUUGAGUGUAUGUCACAGCCUCAACCCAAAACUUUCUGUCUAACCCAGCAUUAGACAGCAUGCAACGUACUUUUUCCACUAGUGUCUUGUUCAUACGCUCUGACACCCCAUUCUGCUGCGGUGUUUUUCUAACUGUGAAGUGCCGAACUAUGCCACAUUCUUGGCAUAUUUUCUGGAAGGGAUUACUCUUGUAUUCUCCACCGUUGUCUGUUCGGAGGAUCUUGAUCUUUCUUCCCGUCUGAUUUUCAACCUGAGCUUUCCAUUUAAGGAAAAUCCCUAGCACCUCAUCCUUGCUUUUCAUAGUAAACACCCAAACUCUUCUGAAAAAAUCAUCAAUAAAAGUGACAAAAUAAUAUAUGCCACCAAGAGAUGGAGUCUUGGCAGGUCCCCAUACAUCUGAGUGCACAUAAUCCAAAAUACCCUUGGUAUUAUAGAUACCAGUGCCGAAUUUCACUCUUUUUUAUUUUUUCAGAACACAAUACUCACAAAAUUCUAAUUUGCAAACUUUCGUACCUUUCAAUAAUCCGUGUUUGGCAAGAUUUUGCAAAGAUUUUUCACCAGCAUGUCUCAAUCGCAUGUGCCACAACUUUGUUGCCUCCGCAUCAUUCUUGCUACUGGAAGAUGUUGUUGCUGCUGCUGUCCCAACAACUGUACUAUCUUGGUAGUAAUACAGAUUAUUCUUCCUCACACAUUUCAACAUCACAAGUGCUUCCGAAGUUAUUUUAAGAAUUUCAUCUCGCAUUUUCACUUCCAGGCCUUUUGACUCCAAGAGUCCCAAGGAGGUGAGAUUCCUUUUUAAAUUUGGCACGUACCGAACAUCCUUCAAUAUUCUAGUGGAUCCAUCAUGAUUACGCAGCUUGAUUGAACCUAUCCCACCUAUUUUACAUGGAUUAUCAUUUCCCAUGUACACAACUCCACCAUCAAAUUCUUCAAAUUCAAAGAACCAUUCCCGCAUGGGAGACAUAUUGUGGUAUCAGAGCCGAAGGUUCGUCAUUUGGCUUGUUUGUAGUUUGUUAUAUUGAAUACUAUCAUUUGAGUCUGUAAUGGCAUCUGACAAUUCCACGUCAAGAAUUACAUCUGGGGCAUCGGCUUCCUCGUCUACAUGGCCGAGGACUCCAAUGUCAAGUUCGAAACUAGCGGUGGAGAUAUUUGACGGUACUGGCCAUUUCGGCAUGUGACAAGGCGAAGUCUUAGACUCCCUUUUCCAACAGGGUCUUGACAUUGCCAUUGAAGAAAAGAAAUCAGAUGACAUGGAAGAGAAUGAGUGGAGUAAUAUAAAUUGGUUCGCAUGCGGAACUAUUCGAUCGUGUUUGUCCAGAGAGCAAAAAUAUGCUUUCAAGAACGAGACUUCUGCAUGAAAAUUGUGGAGGGCAUUGGAGGAGAAAUUUCUGAAGAAGAGUGGUCAGAAUAAACUCCUAAUGAAGAAAAGAUUGUUCCGAUUCGAUUACCAACCAGGUACUACUAUGAAUGAACACAUCACUAUGUUUAAUCAGUUAGUAGCAGACCUGUUAAAUUUAGAUGUAAAAUUUGAAAAUGAAGAUUUGGCUUUGAUGUUGUUAUCAUCCCUUCCUGAUGAAUUUGAACAUUUGGAAACUACGUUACUUCAUGGAAAGGAGAAUAUGUCUUUAGAUGCUGUAUGUUCUGUUUUGUAUAGUCAUGAAUUGAGAAAGCAGGAUAAAAUAAAAAAGAAAAUAGCUACAGCGUGAUGCAUUUAGCCACCAUUCAUUCCACAUCUCGCUUCAUCCUUAGCCAAUGGAAGUGCUCUUGAAGGUAGCUAAGGUUUUAGCCACGCCAAAGUGUCCCAUCAAGCCAUCUCCGUGUGCUUCCUUAACAAGUAAAGAGUGAAUAGAGCAGUCAGGUAUACACAGUUGAUUGAAGUAGAAAAGAAAUCCAUCAAGGAUGUAGAAUUUACCUUGAGUUGUUGAACCACAAGAGUCAUAAAUACCUGAGAAAUCUGGGUCAUUGGUGUAUAACUCUUUAACUAAUUCAAAUCCUAACAACCUUGCAUCAAGUUGAGUGAGCAAAGAGUACCGGCGUGAUAAUGCAUCAGCAACAACAUUAGUUUUCGCCACUUUGUACUUAAUCACAUAAGGGAAGAUUUCAAUAAAUGCAAUCCACCUAACAUGACGCUUAUUCAACUUGUGUUGUGACUUAAUGUGUUUAAGCGACUCAUGGUCAGUGUGUAUGACAAAUUCCCUUGGUCUCAAGUAAUGUUACCAAGUUUCUAAAGCAUGGAUUAAGAAGUACAACUCCUUAUCAUAAGUGAAAUAGUUCAAAACUGCCCCAUUGAGUUUUUCGUUAAAGUAUGCAAUUGGUUUGCCCUCUUGCAUUAGGACAGCUCCAAUACCCACCCCAAAUGCAUCACACUCUAUUUUAAACAUCUUGUCAAAGCAUGGCAAUGCAAGUAGUGGUGCUUGUGUGAGUUGAUGUUUAAGUAUUUGAAAAGCACGUUCUUGAGCAUCACUCCACACAAAUGGCUCAUUUUUCUUAAUUACAGCAAUUACAGGUGCAGCAAUGGUACUAAAAUCUUUAAUAAAUCGUCUAUUAAAACUAGCAAAACCAUGGAAGCUGCGUACCCCACCCACCGUGCUUGGAGUAGGCCAUUCUCGAAUUGCUUUAACCUUCUCCUUAUCCAUUUUGAUUCCCUGUUUACUCACAACAAAGUCUAAGAAGACAAGUUGAUCAGUACAAAAAGAGCACUUCUUAAGGUUAGCAUAGAGUUUUUCCUUUCAAAGUACAUCAAGAACAAGCUUCACAUGUUCAACAUGCUCAUCUAGGCUCCUACUAUAAAUCAGGAUAUCGUCAAAAUACACAACUACAAAUUUUCCAAGGAAUGGACGAAAUACAUGGUUCAUCAAUCUCAUGAACGUAUUAGGUGCAUUAGUUAGUCCAAAUGGCAUAACUAACCAUUCGUAUAAGCCAUGUUUGGUUUUAAAGGUCGUUUUCCAUUCAUCCCCCUCUUUCAUCCUAAUUUGAUGAUAACCGCUUUUUAGAUCAAUUUUAGUGAAAAUCACAGUACCAUAUAGCUCAUCUAACAUAUCAUCAAGUCUAGGAAUAGGGUGACGAUAUUUUACCGUUAUUGCAUUAACGGCCCUACAGUCAGUGCACAUUCGCCAACUUUCAUCCUUUUUAGGCACUAAGAUGACAGGAACCGCACAUGGGCUCAAACUUUCUCGUGCCCAUCCCUUUGUUAGAAACUCUUCGAUUUGGCGUUAGAGCUCCUUUGUCUUAUCUGGUCCCAUUUUGUAGGCUGGUCUGUUAGGAAGUGGGGCACUUGGAACCAAGUCAAUUUGAUGCUCAAUUCCCCUUAUUGGUGGUAGUCCAUUUGGAAUCUCAUCGGGGAAGACAUCCUCAUAAUCCUGCAAAAGCGAGGCAAUACUAGAUGGUAGAGUGUUAAUAAGAUCACUUGUAACAACCAACACCUCUUUGCACAAAAGUACAAAGAUGGGUGUAUUAACACUCAAAACUUUUCUUACUACAUUGGCUUUUAUCAAUAGAUUUUGCCUUUUCUCUCUCUUUUCAAUUUUGGCCGGCUCACCAUAUGUCUUUUUCCUCUCAAUUUUUUCGGCCUUAUCAUUUUCUGUUGAGCUCUCGGCUUUUUCUAUUUUUUUUCUUCUCAUUCUCAAGCUCACUCUCCUUAAUCAGGCUUUCUUGAUUUUCACGAACUUGGAUAGGAAUGAGUGGACAAGCACAAUCCUCUUCUCGCCUUGCUUGAAGGAGUAUUUAUUGGUAAUGCCAUUGAAUGUAACUCCCUUGUCAAAUUGCCAUGAUCUCCCCAAUAAUAUGUUACAUGCUUGCAUAGGGACCACGUCGCAUAACACCACGUCCUCAUACUUUCCAAUUCAGAAAGAUACUUGGACUUGCUUGGUCACACGAACAUCCCCACUAUCGUUCAACCAUUGCAAACGAUAAGGUGUUGGAUGUCGUAGAGUGGGUAGUGCUAGUUUUUCCACCAUCAAGGCACUAGCGACGUUAGCACAACUACCUCCAUCUAUGAUCAAACUACAUACCUUGCCUUUGAUAUAGCAACGGGUGUAGAAAAUGUUCUCCCUUUGUGCAUGGUCGGCGGCUUUCACUUGGGUUGCUAAGGCUCGCCUGACAACGAGUCCAACUCGUUCAUCGACGGGCAAUGCUUCCUCUUCUUCCUCAAGGGAUGGCAACUCCUCCUUCUCAUCUUCAUCAUCGGUGAGAAACUCACCAUUGAGUAAGAUGAUCAUAGUGCGUUGGUUCGGGCAUUGGCUAGCAAUAUGCCCUCGGCCUUGGCAUUUGAACCAUCUAGUAUCUCGAUUUCGCCCCAUGCUCGACUCAAUGGCAGUCUUUGGUAUUGCCUUAGACUCCUACUUAGUCAUAUCCGGCCUCGGUCUUGAAAGGGUGGAAUUACUCGACCCUUUAUCCUCUUUCUUUGGUGGUGUAGUUCGGGGAUAAGAGGGUGAAAAGUUGGAGUAGCUCCGAGUUGAACCCCUCCUCUUAAUCCUCUUUUCAAUCUUGAUGGCCUUCUCCACCAAGUCCCCAAGUUCCACAUAGUGGUGUAACUCCACUUGAUCAGCGAUUUCGGGCCUUAAUCCGUUCAAAAAGCGUGCCAUUGUUGCUUCUCGAUCCUCCAUGAUGUCUGCCCGUAGCAUGAGUAUUUCCAUUUCCUUGUGAUAGUCCUCGACAUUUCGUACUCCUUGGUUGAGGGUUUGAAGCUUUUGAUACAAGUCACGGUAGUAGUGACUUGGUACCAAACGCUUUCUCAUUAGUCGUCUUAGCUCCGUCCAAGUUUGUAUAGUAAGUUCACGACUCCUCCUUCGACUAGUAGAGAGUUGAUCCACCACACAACGGCGUAGUCGGUGAAUUCGGCCACGGCCAACUUGACCUUUUGCUCCUCCGAGUAACUAUUGCAGUCGAAGACAAGUUCAAUCCGCUUCUCCCACUCUAAGUAGGCAUUGGGGUCUGAUCGUCCUUAGUGGUCAUUUGAAAGUCUAGCAUCACGCUUGGACCUACUUUGCUUGUGCUCAUAGUUGUUGUCUGAGUUAGAGUCGCUAGACUCAUGUGCAUAAGCCUUUCCAUGGCUGCCUUUGGAGCUUCCAUGAGACAACUCUAAGCUGUCAAUGCGUUGGUGUAUCAGUUCAAGUUUUUGGUCCAUCAUGCGUUCCAAUUCGCCUUUGAUUGCUUCUGUGAAAAGUUUAAGAUCAAAAGCUUGGGAACUUGCUCCCCCCUCGUUAGCUAUGGUGAAGUAUAGGGUAAAAAAGAAUAAUAAUGGAAAGAAGCAAAGUUUAUCUCGCACACUUCCUCACGUGUUUACUCUCGCUCUCGUGUUUGAACACUCUAAUGAACUCACCAAGGUGUUUUCAAGGCUCCUCGGUCAACUCCUCGAAGAAGUUAGAACUCCUUUUAGUGUGGAUCGACUUACCAACCAGGGUCACAAGAUUAUAACAAAAGAUGAAGGGACUGACCACGACUCAAUGAAUGACUCAAAGUUGAAUUUUAAGGACCCUAGACAAAACUCUACCCAAAACUGAAAUUUUGAGCUGUUGGUUGGUGCAUUUCUGGUCAGUGUCUUGGUAGGUAAAUGGACACUUAGAAGAUUCAGAAUGACACUUAAAACUGACCUAAUGAUGCACGAAAAUUUCCAGAAUUAAUGAUUGGACAGAAAUUCCCUAACGGUUGCAAAGAUGGAAUCCGAAUGGAAAACGAAUUUGUGUUGCGGUGGGACUGUUUUAGAAACCUAAGACUGACUUUUCUUCCUUAAUCCUUUGGAACAAGGAUUAGUCUUCCUAUUUGCUGGUUCCCACGAAUUCUAAGGUCAAGAUCAAGGUUGGAACUGAUUUGGUUAUUUUUGGGAACGAGAAUUUGACUUGAACGGGUUGAAAAAUUUGACUUUGAAUAGGUUGGAAAAUUUGACUUGAAUAAGCUGAAAAAAAAAAUUGACUUGACUUGGGGCCUCUUAGACAUCAAUAUUUCGAUGGUCAGCUUUUAGGGGGGCAUUUAUCACAAUCAAUGGUCAAAUUUGGAACCUUUCAAGAGUCAAAUUUCGUGACUUAGGAAGGUUGGUUUUCAAGAGUCAAAUUUCAUGGCUUAAUGUUCUUCUUAUCAAUGGUCAAUUCUGGAGGCUUUCAAGAAUCCCAACUAAUGUUCCAAGAACUUCAAGAUUGUGGUUUUAAACAAUAAAAAACUUCAAGAAACCCAAGUUUUGAUCAAAACAGAUUUUGGUUGGCUUCAAGAAUCCCAACUAAAGUUCCAAGAACUUCAAGAUUGUGGUUUUAAACAAUCAAGAACUUCAAGAAAUCCAAGUUUUGAUCAAGACAGAUUUUCAAGAAUUUCAUAACGUCAGCCGGCUAUAUUUUUUUUGUAUUUUAAACAACAAGAACACAAAAAAAAGGCUGGACCAAACAAGGCUAACCACAGCAAUUAACAGCAACUAGACGCAAGUUUAUGACGCGACAAAUCUGGAAAAAUAAUGCAAGAACACGAUGCAACAAAUCUGGAAAUUGCGGAUAGCAAACUUAGAACACAAAAACAGAAUUUUGGACAACUUGACUCGAAAAGGAAAUAAAUAAAGGGAUAUAACGUGAUACCUCUUAACUAACUCUGAUUACCAACUGAUACGAACGUCGCCAACCUUGUGACGAAACCCGUAAAAGAUUAGUUUCAAGAUCGACAAGAGGAUACCAAAUUUGGAGCGGAUGACCUCAACCCGUUAAUCACGUGGGUAACGAACCUUGGUAUAAUGGUAGAGGACGCAACAACCUAGUGCGAUUCUAGAUUGAUAAGUCACGAACACCUAGAGAAAUUCUAAGGUAUUCAAGAAGCCUUAGAGAAACCAAAAAAACUCUCAAAAUCUAAUUUAUUGAUUGCAUGCCUAAAAUCGUUGGAAGUGUGGGCUAUUUAUAGCCUUACAUAGAGAUGAAAAACUAAAUAAUGUGAAACUAGUCUAGAAUUGUGGGUUUGACUAAAACUAAGAAUUGUAGACUUGACUAUUUCCAUAAGACUAAGAAUUGUAGGUUUGACCAAAUCUUAUGAGGUCAUCCCUUAGAUAAAUAAAGCAAGGUUAUGGACCAUUAAGCCCUUAUUACAAUGACUUAACUAAAACAGCAAAUGUGACUAGAGAAGGGUCACGCAUGGUUCUCUUUGACGUGCACUACAUGGAUGACCUUCAUUCCCACUCAAAAAUACAACUAGUGAUUAAACCGAUUCAAUAAUUCCCAAGAAAGAUCGUCGAAACAAUCUCCUUAGACAGAAUUACCAUUCCAAAUAAAUUUCCAGGACAGGCUGGAGGGGUCACAAGCGAUCCCACUUAAAACCCAGUCUCCUAGACAGAAUUUACGUACACGGUAUAUUAUCACAACUAGACCCGUAUAUACAUAAAUAUUACGUACACACGAAUAAGAAAAUACACCCAAAUGAAUUGUAUAAAACACUACAAAUAAACCCAACAAAUAUAUUGAAUACUAUACUUCAAUAAAAAAGAAACUACUAAAUAAGUGCGGAAUAAAUAAAAGAGAUAAGGAAAGAACGCACCCGAAAAAUUGAUAACGGAGUUCGGCAAAUUUUGCUUAAUCUCCGAGCACCACUCAAGCAGCCUGCUCUUAUAAUUUAGGAGAAAAGAGAAUUUCAAAAGAAUUACAAUAUCCUUUUUGGUGUAAUUCUUUUAUUUUUGGUACAUUUGAAUUGAGAAGAGAUGAAGUUAUUUAUAAUUUCUCAAAACCUCUCUUAUCUCAUAAUCCUACCGAUGUGGGAUUAGAAUUGUGCCAAAAAAAUUUCACAAUUUUGGUUUGGAAAAGUCAUCAAUUGAGGCUUUGAAUUCAACAAAUCUCCACCUUGACAUAAUUUCUAAUCCCACUCAAAAAUACAAAUCUCCUCACCCAAAAAAUCAAACGGUUCUUGUGGUGAAUCCAAAAUUUACGCCCUCAGGCGCCAACUCAAAUGUGCAGGAUAUUGACCAAGUCUAAACAAUGUUCAAACUUGGACCUUAUAACCACCUUGAUCAGCAUAUCUGCAGGAUUCUCCGUAGUCCGAAUCUUCUGGAGAAAAAUCUCUUCUUCGAGAAUUUCCGACACAAAGUGAUAGCGAACAUCAAUGUGCUUCGUUCUUGCGUGUAAGACCUGGUUCUUUGCUAAGUGAAUAGCACUCUGACUGUCACAAAACACGUCAAUGUGUUUUUGACCAACUCCUAAGUCUUCAAGCAAUCCUUGAAGCUAAAUUGCCUCUUUCACAGCUUCUGUAAUCGCCAUAUACUCUGCCUCCGUUGUAGACAAAGCCACCAUUGACUGCAAAGUAGACUUCCAACUAACUGGUGCCUUAGCAAACGUGAACAAGUAGUCAGUUGUAGAACGUCGCUUAUCCAAAUCACCUGCAUAGUCAGAAGUAGACAAGAAGCAAAUACGAUCACUGUGUGUAUUUGCGCAAGUUACGAGAUGAUUCCUACAUCUACUUACUCUUGUAUAUUGAUGAUAUACUAAUAGCGUCAAAGAGCCAAGUUGAAAUUGACAAAAUAAAAGUUCAGUUGAGUAAAGAGUUCGAGAUGAAGGAUUUGGGAAAAACCAAGAAGAUUCUCGGCAUGGAGAUAAGUAGCGAUAGAACAAGAGGCAAACUUUGUCUGACACAAGCAAUAUUUGAACAAAGUACUACAACGUUUUGGUAUGAAUGAAAAUUCAAAACCUGUAAGUACUCCGCCUGCUCCUCAUUUGAAACUUAGCAGCAUAUUAUCUCCAAAGAUGGAUGAAAAGCGAGUAUACAUGGCGAAAGUCCCGUAUGCUAAUGCAGUUGGUAGCUUGUUGUAUGCAAUGGUGUGUAUGAGACCCGAAAUUUCACUGGCAGUUGGUGUGGUAAGCAGGUUUAUGCAUGAUCCUGGCAAUGGUCAUUGGCAAACUGUGAAAUGGAUUUUACGGUAUAUCCAAAAUACCAUAGAUACUGGAUUAGUAUUUGAGUAGGAUAAAUCACUUGGUCAAUGUGUAGUUGGAUAUUUUGAUUCUGACUAUGCGGGUGAUUUGGAUAAGCGACGUUCUACAACUGGCUACUUGUUCACGUUUGUUAAGCCGUCAGUUAGUUGGAAGUCUACUUUGCAGUCAACGGUGACUUUGUCUACAACGGAGGCAGAGUAUAUGGCGAUUACAAAAGCUGUGAUGGAGGCAAUUUGGCUUCAAGGAUUGCUUGAAGACUUGGGAGUUGGUAAAAAACACAUUGACGUGUUUUGUGACAGUUAGAGUGCUAUUCACUUAGCAAAGAACCAGGUCUUGCACGCAAGAACGAAGCACAUUGAUAUUCGCUAUCACUUUGUGCGGGAAAUUCUCGAAGAAGAUGAGAUUUUUCUCCAGAAAAUUCGAACUACGGAGAAUCUUGCAGAUAUGCUGACCAAGGUGGUUACAAGGUCCAAGUUUGAACAUUGUUUAGACUUGAUCAAUAUCCUGCACAUUUGAGUUGGAGCCUAAGGGUGCAAAUUUUGGAAGCACCGCAAGGACCGUUUGAUUUUUUGGGUAAGGAGAUUUGUAUUUUUGGGUGGGAUUAGAAAUUAUGCCAAGGUGAAAAUUUGUUGAAUUCAAAGCCUCAAUUGAUGACUUUUCCAAGCCAAAGUUGUGAAAUUUUUUGGCACAAUUCUAAUCCUACAUCGGUAGGAUUAUGAGAUAAGAGAGGUUUUGAGAAGUUAUAAAUAACUUCAUCUCUUCUCAAUUCAAAUGUAUCAAAAAUAAAAGAAUUACACCAAAAAGGAUUUUGUAAUUCUUUUGAAAUUCUUUCUUUUGCUAAAUUAUAGGAGCAGGCUGCUUGAGUGGUGCUCGGAUAUUAGGCAAAAUUUGCCGAACUCCAUUAUCAAUUUUUCGGGUGCGUUCUUUUCUUAUCUCUUUUAUUUAUUCCACACUUAUUUAGUAGUUUCUUUUCUAUUGAAGUAUAGUAUUUAAUAUAAAAGAAACUACUAAAUAAGUGCUGGAGGGAAACAAUCGUGUUCUCAACACUCGUGUGAAAGUGUCAUGGAGGGAAACAAUCUCUGGGUUAGAGAGAAUUUGUGUUCGAGCAGCAUCAAGCUCAAUUGAUAAUCCUGCAAGAAAACUCAUUACAACCAUUUGUUCCCGUUGAGACUGUUGAGUUUUUACAUCAGUACUAAAAGGAAUGAGAGAAUUCAAUUUCUCACAUACUCGUUUAAAAUCCAUAAAAUAUUCUGUAAGGAAUCUCUGCUAUUUUUUCGGACGAUAAAAUUCCUUGCAAACAUCAUAUAUAUGAUUUAAAUUACCUUUACCAGAAUACAAGAAAGCCAAAUAAUCCAUAAGAUCUUUAACAAACUCACAAUGAUUGAUGAGACUGACUAUCUCAUUAUCAAUAGAGUUUCGGAUCUGCAAAAAUAGUUUUGCAUUUCCUUUAGCCAAACCUUUUUUUCUUUCCCAUCAACAAGUGGGUCAUCAGUGAGAUGAUCAUCUCUAUCAAUGCUGCGCAGAUAUAUCCGAAUAGUUUUACUCCAAUUCAAAAAAAAAUUUCCACUUAGUUUGUGUUCAGUAAUCUUUCAAGUUGUAGGAAUAACAUCAGAAUGUUUUCAUCUCUCUACUACUACCUUUCAUAUCUGCCAUUAUAAUUCACACAAGAAAGAAUUAAAAGUGAUUCAAUAGGGUGACGUCAAAAAGCAAACUGAUAACAAAGCCUAAAAUUCUGAUACCAUGAAAACUAAGAAGAAAGGGAGAGAAAAUAUUCUUCUUCAUAUUCCAUUGGAUACACAGUGUACAAAUAUAUACACAAGUAUAAUCUAAUUUAGAUCCUAAAAUCAUGCUAAUCUAAAUCAAUUUAUUACCUAAUUAAUAUCUGAUACUAUAAUCAAAGCAAAUCAAAUCAAAUCUUUACUAAUAUCUACAAUAUCAAAUCUUUCUAUAAUAUCAUAUCACAUAUAUUCAACACUUACAUUCUCCUCUUUAGCAAUUGCAAAUGCAAAGGGAAAGACAUGAUUAGCAGCAUCCAAACUAUAAGCAAUAUAAAUCUUCUCCUUAUAUUUUUUGUAUUGAUGUGUCUCAUCUACACAAAUCACUGGUCUACAGUGGACGAACCCAUCACAUUUGCGAAAUUUGACUCCAAGAGUCCAAGAGUCCCAAAUCACUUUUGACUCCAAAUCACUUUUGAUGUGUCUCAUUUUCAUAAAAAAAAUUUUGAAAACCUGUAAGUACUCCAAAUAAUUUUUUCAAAACCUGUAAGUACUCCGCCUGCUCCUCAUUUGAAACUUAGCAGCAUAUUAUCUCCAAAGACGGAUGAAAAACGAGUAUACAUGGCGAAAGUCCCGUAUGCUAAUGCAGUUGGUAGCUUGUUGUAUGCAAUGGUGUGUACGAGACCCGAAAUUUCACAGGCAAUUGGUGUGGUAAGCAGGUUUAUGCAUAAUCCUGGCAAUGGUCAUUGGCAAGUUGUGAAAUGAAUUUUACGGUAUAUCCAAAAUACCGUAGAUGUUGGAUUAGUAUUUGAGUAGGAUAAAUCACUUGGUCAAUGUGUAGUUGGAUAUUUUGAUUCUGACUAUGCAAGUAAUUUGGAUAAGCGACGUUCUACAACUGGCUACUUGUUCACGUUUGCUAAGACGCCAAUUAGUUGGAAGUCUACUUUGCAGUCAACGGUGACUUUGUCUACAACGGAAGCAGAGUAUAUGGCGAUUACAGAAGCUGUGAAAGAGACAAUUUGGCUUCAAGGAUUGCUUGAAGACUUGGAAGUUGGUCAAAAACACAUUGACGUGUUUUGUGACAGUUAGAGUACUAUUCACUUAGCAAAGAACCAGAUCUUGCACGCAAGAACGAAGCACAUUGUUAUUCGCUAUCACUUUGUGCAGGAAAUUCUCGAAGAAGAGGAGAUUUUUCUCCAGCAAAUUCGGACUACGGAGAAUCUUACAGAUAUGCUGACCAAGGUGGUUACAAGGUCCAAGUUUGAACAUUGUUUACACUUGAUCAAUAUCCUGCACAUUUGAGUUGGAGCCUAAAGGCGCAAAUUUUGGAAGCACCACAAGGACCGUUUGAUUUUUUGGGUGAGAAGAUUUGUAUUUUUGGGUGGGAUUAGAAAUUAUGCCAAUGUGAAAAUUUGUUGAAUUCAAAGCCUCAAUUGAUGACUUUUCCAAGCCAAAGUUGUGGAAUUUUUUUGGCACAAUUCUAAUCCCACAUCGGUAGGAUUAUGAGAUAGGAGAGGUUUUGAGAAGUUAUAAAUAACUUCAUCUCUUCUCAAUUCAAAUGUACCAAAAAUAAAAGAAUUACACCAAAAAGGAUAUUGUAAUUCUUUUGAAAUUCUUUCUUCUAAAUUAUAGGAGCAGGCUGCUUGAUUGGUGCUCGGAGAUUAAGCAAAAUUUGUCGAACUCCGUUAUCAAUUUUUCAGGUGCGUUCUUUCCUUAUCUCUUUUAUUUAUUCCGCACUUAUUUUGUAAUUCUUUUCUAUUGAAGUAUAGUAUUCAAUAUAUUUGUUGGGUUUAUUUGUAGUGUUUUAUACAAUUCAUUUGGGUGUAUUUUCUUAUUCGUGUGUACGUAAUAUUUAUGUAUACACGGGUCUAGUUGUGAUAAUAUACCGUGCACGUAAAUUCUGUCUAGGAGACUGGGUUUUAAGUGGGAUCGCUUGUGACCCCUCCAGCCUGUUCUGGGAAUUUACUUGGAAUGGUAAUUCUGUCUAAGGAGAUUGUUUCGACGAUCUUUCUUGGGAAUUAUUGAAUCGAUUUAAUCACUAGUUGUAUUUUUGAGUGGGAAUAAAGGUCAUCCAUGUAGUGCAUGUCAAAGAGAACCAUGCGUGACCUUUCUCUAGUCACAUUUGCUGUUUUAGUUAAGUCAUUGUAAUAAGGGCUUAAUGGUCCAUAACCUUGCUUUAUUUAUCUAAGGGAUGACCUCAUAAGGUUCGGUCAAACCCACAAUUCUUAGUCUUAUGGAAAUAGUCAAGCCUACAAUUCUUAGUUUUAGUCAAAUCCACAAUUCUAGACUAGUUCCACAUUAUUUAGUUUUUCAUCUCUAUGUAAGGCUAUAAAUAGCCCACACUUCCAACGAUUUUAGGCAUGCAAUCAAUAAAUUAGAUUUUGAGAGUUUUUUUGGUUUCUCUAAGGCUUCUUGAAUACCUUAGAAUUUCUCUAGGUGUUCGUGACUUAUCAAUCUAGAAUCGCACUAGGUUGUGGCGUCCUCUACCAUUAUACCAAGGUUCGUUAACCACGUAAUUAACGGGUUGAGGUCAUCCGCUCCAAAUUUGGUAUCCUCUUGUCGAUCCUGAAGCUAAUCUUUUACGGGUUUCGUCACAAGGUUGGCAACGUUCGUAUCAGUUGGUAAUCAGAGUUAGUUAAGAGGUAUCACGUUAUAUCCCUUUAUUUAUUUCCUUUUCGAGUCAAGUUGUCCAAAAUUCUGUUUUUGUGUUCUAAGUUUGCUAUCCGUAAUUUCCAGAUUUGUUGCAUCGUGUUCUUGCAUUAUUUUUCCAGAUUUGUCGCAUCAUAAACUUGCGUCUAGUUGUUGUUAAUUGCUGUGGUUAGCCUUGUUUGGUCCAGCCUUUUUUUUUGUGUUCUUGUUGUUUAAAAUACAAAAAAAAUAUAGCCGGCUGACGUUAUGAAAUUCUUGAAAAUCUGUCUUGAUCAAAACUUGGGUUUCUUGAAGUUCUUGAUUGUUUAAAACCACAAUCUUGAAGUUUUUGGAACUUUAGUUGGGAUUCUUGAAGCCAACCAAAAUCUGUUUUGAUCAAAACUUGGAUUUCUUGAAGUUUUUUAUUGUUUAAAAUCACAAUCUUGAAGUUCUUGAAACAUUAGUUGGGAUUCUUGAAAGACUCCAGAAUUGACCAUUGAUAAGAAGAACAUUAAGCCAUGAAAUUUGACUCUUGAAAACCAACCUUCCUAAGCCACGAAAUUUGACUCUUGAAAGGUUUCAAAUUUGACCAUUGAUUGUGAUAAAUGCCCCCCUAAAAGCUAACCAUCGAAUAUUGAUGUCUAAGAGGCCCCAAGUCAAGUCAAUUUUUUUUUUCAGCUUAUUCAAGUCAAAUUUUCCAACCCAUUCAAAGUCAAAUUUUCCAACCCGUUCAAGUCAAAUUCUAGUUUCCAAAAAUAACCAAAUCAGUUCCAAUCUUGAUCUUGACCUUAGAAUUCGUGGGAACCAGCAAAUAGGAAGACUAAUCCUUGUUCCAAAGGAUUAAGGAAGAAAAGUCAGCCUUAGGUUUCUAAAACAGUCCCAUCGCAACACAAAUUCGUUUUCCAUUCGGAUUCCAUCUUUGCAACCGUUAGGGAAUUUCUGUCCAAUCAUUAAUUCUGGAAAUUUUCGUGCAUCAUUAGGCAGUUUUAAGUGUCAUUCUGAAUCUUCUAAGUGUCCAUUUACCUACCAAAACACUGACCAGAAAUGCACCAACCAGCAGCUCAAAAUUUCAGUUUUGUGUAGAGUUUUGUCUAGGAUCCUUAAAAUUCAAACUUUGAGUCAUUCAUUGAGUCGUGGUCAGUCCCUUCAUCUUUUAUUAUAAUCUUGUGACCCUGGUUGGUAAGUCGAUCCACACUAAAAGGAGUUCUAACUUCUUUGAGGAGUUGACCGAGCAGCCUUGAAAACACCUUGGUGAGUUCAUUAGAGUGUUCAAACACGAGAGCGAGAGUAAACACGUGAGGAAGUGUGCGAGAUAAACUUUGCUUCUUUCCAUUAUUAUUCUUUUUUACCCUAUAUUUCACCAUAGCUAACGAGGGGGGAGCAAAUUCCCAAGCUUUUGAUCUUAAACUUUUCACAGAAGCAAUCAAAGGCGAAUUGGAACGCAUGAUGGACCAAAAACUUGAACUGAUACACCAACGCAUUGACAGCUUAGAGUUGUCUCAUGGAAGCUCCAAAGGCAGCCGUGGAAAGGCUUAUGCACAUGAGUCUAGCGACUCUAACUCAGACAACAACUAUGAGCACAAGCAAAGUAGGUCCAAGCGUGAUGCUAGACUUUCAAAUGACCACUAAGGACGAUCAGACCCCAAUGCCUACUUAGAGUGGGAGAAGCGGAUUGAACUUGUCUUCGACUGCAAUAGUUACUCGGAAGAGCAAAAGGUCAAGUUGGCCGUGGCCGAAUUCACCGACUACGCCGUUGUGUGGUAGGAUCAACUCUCUACUAGUCGAAGGAGGAGUCGUGAACUUACCAUACAAACUUGGACGGAGCUAAGACGACUAAUGAGGAAGCGUUUGGUACCAAAUCACUACUACCGUGACUUGUAUCAAAAGCUUCAAACCCUCAACCAAGGAGUACGAAGUGUCGAGGACUAUCACAAGGAAAUGGAAAUACUCAUGCUACGGGCAGACAUCAUGGAGGAUCGAGAAGCAACAAUGGCACGCUUUUUGAACGGAUUAAGGCCCGAAAUCACUGAUCAAGUGGAGUUACACCACUAUGUGGAACUUGGGGACUUGGUGGAGAAGGCCAUCAAGAUUGAAAGGAGGAUUAAGAGGAGGGGUUCGACUCGGAGUUACUCCAACUUUUUACCCUCAUAUCCCCGAACUACACCACCAAAGAAAGAGGAUAAAGGGUCGAGUAAUUCCACCCCUUCAAGACCGAGGCCGGAUAUGACUAAGUAGGAGUCUAAGACAAUACCAAAGACUGCCAUUGAGUCGAGCAUGGAGCGAAAUCGAGAUACUAAAUGGUUCAAAUGCCAAGGCCGAGGGCAUAUUGCUAGCCAAUGCCCGAACCAAUGCACUAUGAUCAUCUUACUCAAUGGUGAGUUUCUCAUCGAUGAUGAAGAUGAGAAGGAGGAGUUGCCAUCCCUUGAGGAAGAAGAGGAAGCAUUGCCCGUCGAUGAACGAGUUGGACUCGUUGUCAGGCGAGCCUUAGCAACUCAAGUGAAAGCCGCCGACCAUGCACAAGGGGAGAAUAUUUUCUACACCCGUUGCUAUAUCAAAGGCAAUGUAUGUAGUUUGAUCAUAGAUGGAGGUAGUUGUGCUAACGUCGCUAGCGCCUUGAUGGUGAAAAAACUAGCACUACCCACUCUACGACAUCCAACACCUUAUUGUUUGCAAUGGUUGAACGAUAGCGGGGAUGUUCGUGUGACCAAGCAAGUCCAAGUAUCUUUCUGAAUUGGAAAGUAUGAAGACGUGGUGUUAUGCGACGUGGUCCCUAUGCAAGCAUGUCACAUAUUAUUGGGGAGAUCAUGGCAAUUUGACAAGGGAAUUACAUUCGAUGGCAUUACCAAUAAAUACUCCUUCAAGCAAGGCGAGAAGAGAAUUGUGCUUGUGCCACUCAUUCCUAUCCAAGUUCGUGAAAAUCAAGAAAGCCUGAUCAAGGAGAGUGAGCUUGAGAAUGAGAAGAAAAAAAUAGAAAAAGCUGAGAGCUCAACAGAAAAUGAUAAGGCCGAGAAAAUUGAGAGGAAAAAGACAUAUGGUGAGCCGGCCAAAAUUGAAAAGAGAGAGAAAAGGCAAAAUCUAUUGAUAAAAACCAAUGUAGUAAGAAAAAUUUUGAGUGUUAAUACACCCAUCUUUGUACUUUUGUGCAAAGAGGUGUUGGUUGUUACAAGUGAUCUUAUUAACACUCUACCAUCUAGUAUUGCCUCUCUUUUGCAGGAUUAUGAGGAUGUCUUCCCCGAUGAGAUUCCAAAUGGACUACCACCAAUAAGGAAAAUUGAGCAUCAAAUUGACUUGGUUCCAAGUGCCCUACUUCCUAACAGACCAGCCUACAAAAUGGGACCAGAUAAGACAAAGGAACUCCAACGCCAAAUCGAAGAGUUUCUAACAAAGGGAUGGGCAUGAGAAAGUUUGAGCCCAUGUGCGAUUCCCGUCAUCUUGGUGCCUAAAAAGGAUGGAAGUUGGCUAAUGUGCACUGACUAUAGGGCCGUUAAUGCAAUAACGGUAAAAUAUCGUCACCCUAUUCCUAGACUUGAUGAUAUGUUAGAUGAGCUAUAUGGUGCUGUGAUUUGCACUAAAAUUGAUCUAAAAAGCAGUUAUCAUCAAAUUAGGAUGAAAGAGGGGGAUGAAUGGAAAACGGCCUUUAAAACCAAACAUGACUUAUACGAGUGGUUAGUUAUGCCAUUUGGACUAACUAAUGCACCUAGUACGUUCAUGAGAUUGAUGAACCAUGUACUUCUCCAUUCCUUGAAAAAUUUGUAGUUGUGUAUUUUGACGAUAUCCCGAUUUAUAGUAGGAGCCUAGAUGAACAUGUGAAGCUUAUUCUUGAUGUAUUUCGAAGGGAAAAACUCUAUGCUAACCUUAAGAAAUGCUUUUUUGUACUGAUCAACUUGUCUUCUUAGACUUUGUUGUGAGUAAACAGGGAAUCAAAGUGGAUAAGGAGAAGGUUAAAGCAAUUCGAGAAUGACCUACUCCAAGCACGGUGGGUGGGGUAUGCAGCUUCCAUGGUCUUGCUAGUUUUUAUAGACGAUUUGUUAAAGAUUUUACUACUAUUGCUGCACCUGUAAUUGCUGUAAUUAAGAAAAAUGAGCCAUUUGUGUGGGGUGAUGCUCAAGAACGUGCUUUUCAAGUACUUAAACAUCAACUCACACACGCACCACUACUUGCAUUGCCAUGCUUUGACAAAAUGUUUAAAAUAGAGUGUGAUGCAUUUGGGGUGGGUAUUGGAGCUGUUCUAAUGCAAUAGGGCAAACCAAUUGCAUACUUUAGUGAAAAACUCAAUGGGACAGUUUUGAACUAUUUCACUUAUGAUAAGGAGUUGUACUUCUUAAUCCGUGCUUUAGAAACUUGGUAACAUUACUUGAGACCAAGGGAAUUUGUCAUACACACUGACCAUGAGUCGCUUAAACACAUUAAGUCACAACACAAGUUGAAUAAGCGUCAUGUUAGGUGGAUUGCAUUUAUUGAAAUCUUCCCUUAUGUGAUUAAGUACAAAGUGGCGAAAACUAAUGUUGUUGCUGAUGCAUUAUCACGCCGGUACUCUUUGCUCACUCAACUUGAUGCAAGGUUGUUAGGAUUUGAAUUAGUUAAAGAGUUAUACACCAAUGACCCAGAUUUCUCAGGUAUUUAUGACUCUUGUGGUUCAACAACUCAAGGUAAAUUCUACAUCCUUGAUGGAUUUCUUUUCUACUUCAAUCAACUGUGUAUACCUAACUGCUCUAUUCACUCUUUACUUGUUAAGGAAGCACACGGAGGUGGCUUGAUGGGACACUUUGGCGUGGCUAAAACCUUAGCUACCUUCAAGAGCACUUCCAUUGGCUAAGGAUGAAGCGAGAUGUGGAAUGAAUGGUGGCUAAAUGCAUCACGCUGUAGCUAUUUUCUUUUUUAUUUUAUCCUGCUUUCUCAAUUCAUGACUAUACAAAACAGAACAUACAGCAUCUAAAGACACAUUCUCCUUUCCAUGAAGUAACGUAGUUUCCAAAUGUUCAAAUUCAUCAGGAAGGGAUGAUAACAACAUCAAAGCCAAAUCUUCAUUUUCAAAUUUUACAUCUAAAUUUAACAGGUCUGCUACUAACUGAUUAAACAGUGAUGUGUUCAUUCAUAGUAGUACCUGGUUGGUAAUCAAAUCGGAACAAUCUUUUCUUCAUUAGGAGUUUAUUCGGACCACUCUUCUUCAGAAAUUUCUCCUCCAAUGCCCUCCACAAUUUCCAUGCAGAAGUCUCGUUCUUGAAAGCCUAUUUUUGCUCUCUGGACAAACACGAUCGAAUAGUUCCGCAUGCGAACCAAUUUAUAUUACUCCACUCCUUCUCUUCUAUGUCAUCUGAUUUCUUUUCUUCAAUGGCAAUGUCAAGACCCUGUUGGAAAAGGGAGUCUAAGACUUCCCCUUGUCACAUGCCGAAAUGGCCAGUACCGUCAAAUAUCUCCACCGCUAGUUUCGAACUUGACAUUGGAGUCCUCGGCCAUGUAGACGAGGAAACCGAUGCCUCGGAUGUAAUUCUUGACGUGAAAUUGUCAGAUGCCAUUACAAACUCAAAUGAUAGUAUUCAAUAUAACAAACUACAAACAAACCAAAGGACGAACCUUCGGCUCUGAUACCACAAUAUGUCUCCCAUGCGGGAGUGAUUCUUUGAAUUUGAAGAACUUGAUGGUGGAGUUGUGUACAUGGAAAAUGACAAUCCAUGUAAAACAGGUGGGAUAGGUUCAAUCAAGCUGCGUAAUCAUGAUGGAUCCACUAGAAUAUUGAAGGAUGUUCGGUACGUGCCAAAUUUAAAGAAGAAUCUCACCUCCUUGGGACUCUUGGAACUCUCACAAUUGCGAAAGAGGAGAAUGUAAGUGUUGAAGAUAUGUGAUAUGAUAUUAUAGAAAGAUUUGAUAUUGUAGAUAUUAGUAAAGAUUAGAUUAGAUUUGCUUUGAUUAUAGUAUCAGAUAUUAAUUAGGUAAUAAAUUGAUUUAGAUUAGUAUGAUUUUAGGAUCUAAAUUAGGUUAUACUUGUGUAUAUAUUUGUACACUGUGUAGUCCAAAGGAAUAUGAAGAAGAAUAUUUUCUCUCCCUUUCUUCUUAGUUUUCAUGGUAUCAGAAUUUUAGGCUUUGUUAUCAAUUAGCUUUUUGACGUCACCCUAUUGAAUCACUUUUAAUUCUUUCUUGUGUGAAUUAUAAUGGCAGAUAUGAAAGAUAGUAGUAGAGAGAUGAAAACAGUAAUUUCUGAUAUUAUUCCUAUAACUUGAAAGAUUACUGAACACAAAUUGAGUGGAAAAAGAGGACAACGUGGUUUUAUGUUUUUAAUUGUAACUAUAUUGUGACCAUUUUGCCCUUGAUAUGGGUAAAAUUGGCAAUUCAAAAAAUGACAUAUUCUUUUAACACCAAACCCUACUCACACUUUAUAUAUAGACUAGCUAUCGAGACACACUCGAUACAUGUGCAACUCGUCCAAAAAUAUUACUAGUUCUUUAAAUACAAUUUUUGGCUGCAAAUUUAGGUGUAAAGAAAAGUAAAUUAAGUUGUGAAAUGUUGGGUUUUCACUUCUCUCGUGAUGAUAUGAAGGAGCAUAUAAAAUGAUAUUGGCCCUGUCUCAGUUUCAGCAGUUAUUUCUUGAGUUCUUCAAGUUAAAAGUUGUGCAAGUCAAAUUUGUUACCAGGCUCAUGCAUUCUGCAAGUCAGUUCUGCUUGAUGGGUCCAUAAAUCUCCUCCUCUCAACAAAUCAAUAACCUUUCUAAAGUAUUUGCUCCCAUAAUCAGUACCAAUCUAAAACUCCAUAUUCUCAAGUAACUGGAUCUUAGAAGUUAAAACAGUACAAACUUCUGGAAUGUCUUCUAUUUACAUUCAUAGUAAGCGUUAAAAGGUAAAAUAUACAGAUUGCAAAUGGUUGCACACAAAAGGCAGCACAGGUCUUGCGAAAAAGACAUACACCACUUGAAAAUUAUCUAGUAGGAGAAUGGGGAGUCAGUCAAACUACUAGCAGGAUGGACCUAAAACAAUCACAGAGCUUAAACUAGAUGUUGCUGAGUUUAUUAAAUUCCUUUCACCUUAUUGGCUAUGAGAUUGGAUAGUAAAUACCUAAUGUUGCUAAUUCAGUUCAAGUGCUUGCCUUUCUUCUUUCCCUUUAAAGAUGUGGAAUUCCAUUGAAAAAAAAAAUACCUAAGUAGUAAAUUUUUUUACUUAUUUUUUUUCAAAACCUGACUUAUUAAAAAGCCCACGAUAUAAUUAGUGCAUAUUCAUACCACAUUUAAAGUGCCAUAAAUAUUUUAAUCAUGUACACAAACUCUCAUAUGAGAACAACAACAUUGUACAAUUGUACAUCAAAGCCUUUAACAAAAUAAAUUAAUAGUGGAUGAUUGGGUCAGCCAUUAUCCAAUAACUAUCUAUACCUCAGUUUCAAUGCUAUGCUGUAGGAAACAAUGCUAACAGCCAGAAGGAAGAAGCAAUAUUAGGUGAAUAAAGAGCUCAAAAGCACAGGUUAAAUUGCUUACACUACAAGUUAAACUAGUUUCCCAACAGUACACAAGUGAAGAGCUUAAAAACAGAUUCAAGGCCAUAAACUUAUCAAGAUAAGCGCAACAGGCAAAUGUCUAAAUAUAUAAUAAUAGAUGAAUGCCAUCAAGUAUAUUUGCAGAAGUGAGAAGCUUUUAUCAUUUCAGCUGGUAUAUAUGAUGGAGCUUUCCCUGCCAGUCCAGUCCAAAUAAGAAUGCUAAGUUGUAACUUGUAAAUCAAUAAUUAUCAAAUGGAUGUCUUAAGUCAAACACUGAGGUAGAAAAUUUCAGAUAACCCUGUCAAGUAUUAGAGCUGAUAGCAAAUACAAGAUGUUGGAUAUGUCAAAACACAGCUGGCAUGGUGCAACUCAUGAUAAAAAAAAAAAAAAAAUUCCCUAGUCAGCCAUGGAAGAGAUUAUAUUCUCCUUUUACAGGAUAUUAUCAUCAGAAAAGUACUUGGAGAACAAGAUAAUUUACCCAUCAGAGUGCAAAUCAACUGUUGAACUUGUCAUUUCUUUUAUGUUCAAGAUUCCACUAGUAUAAUACUAUUAGCUUGCUAGUAAUGGCUACCAUACAGAAAGCAUUAAUGGGCAAUUUGCAGAAACAAGAAGAAAGGAAAGAUUUUUGCAAUGGAGUCUGCUGACUACAAAACGUUUACACCCCAUCUCCAACAGGAAACAACAAAACAAUACAAAAUAACCAAAGUCCACAAGGUGGUAGGAAUCUUUUACUGGCACAAGAUGCUAAAAUGUCAACAAUGAAGUUAAUACUUCAUACGCCUUUUCUAUCUCUUUGCACAAGGUGUAAAAUGGAAAAAAAAUACAAGUAACAAGGAACCAUAGCAUGGCCUAAAGUAAACAAUUCGAAACAACUGAAAGCCUUUAUUUGAAUAAGGACAAGUGUCCUAGAACUCUUAAAAAAAAUUCCUAAAAUUCAUCAUCAUACAAACUUUUGUAUUUUUAAGUUUGUGGUUCUUAGGGGAAAAAAUUCUUUUUUGUGGUUCUUGGGAAAAAGCACACACUUUGACUCUUUUGUCCACGAAUUUUCAGUUUUAUCAAUUAUUUGUCAUCUUUGUGGAAUGUAAAGACUAUUAGCCAUUUGAAUUGUCCUUUUUGCCUUUUAAACCUCAAACAAGAGAGGAUGCCAAAAUUUUUCUUCAAUGCCUAUCCUCUCCUCUCUCCUUUUCUUACCUACAAACAGAAAACUAACAUUUUUUAAAUAGCUAGGGAAAGCUAUUGAAAUCCGCCCCCAUUAAAGUGUAGCUAGGAAAGAAAAAUGACUUUCCUCCAAGUACUAAUUAGAAUAGAAAAAUAUAAAAGAAAAAGGAAAACUUUAUCUGAAAGCAGGUAUUGUCCGCAUAAAAAAUUGUCCAGACCAUACACAGUUGUAGCUACCAAUUACAACACAGAAUUCUUGAAUACUAAAUGUUGUUCUAGAAGACAACUUGCACAACUGAUCUUCAGUGCUUAAAGAAGUCAAAUUACAAGGCAAUUUCUGUUUCUGAUAGUUCCAUCAAGGUUAUGCUUCACUACUGCUUAUAAAUCCAACGUAUGGCUUUUACAAAUAUAGCUCAAAGUUGCUGUCAUGGAUUUAAUUAAUACUUAUACUAAGAGUUGGUAGGAAUUAGCUAUGUAAUUAGUCUAAGAAUACAGCUAUGUAAUUAGUCUAAGAUAGCUGCUGUAAUUAGUCUAAGAAUACAGCUAUAUAUAGUCUGUAAUUACAGACUAUAUACAGCUGUACAUGGCUGACCAUUUAACCUAGUUACUUGUAUAAAUAGAUCAAUGAAAUAUAUGGAAUAUAGACUUUUUAGCAUAAUUAAUAACUUGGUAUCAGAGCAUUGGGGUUUUUCCUUGCUCUCCUCUUUUCUGAAAAUUCCAGCCAUUCUUUCAAUAGCCCACACUGCUGAAAUUUCUUCUCUAAAACACUAAUCACAUCACAAUAUGUCAACCAAACCUGAUGUCUAAUCUCCCCCUGAAGAGAAACCGCAGACAUAUGUCCAGAAAAAUAAGACUCAUUUUCACAAAAUUGAACAUCCAUAGACACAUAGUAGGUUCUUGUAGGAGGAUGAAAACAUUUAUAUCCCUUUUGUGAAUUAGAAUAGCCAAGGAAAACACAUUUGAUAGCACGAGGAUCAAGUUUAUCUCUAUGAUGAGAAUGAACAUGAACAUAGCAUACACAACCAAAAAUCUUUGGACAAAUAUUAAGAGCAGAAGGAAUAGAAUGAAAUUUAGAUAACAUUCUCAAAGGGGUUUGGAAAUCAAUAACCUUAGCAGGCAUUCGAUUAAUGAGAAAAACAGCAGCCAUAAUAGCUUCAGCCCAAAAAUGUUUUGGAACAUGCAUAGUAAAACAUAAGGCUCGUGCUACUUCAAGAAAGUGACGAUUUUUCCGUUCUGCUGGGGUGUGUAAACACAAGUGGUUUGAUGAAGAAUGCCAUGUUGUAUCAUAAAAUCAGCAAGAGAUCGAUUCACAAAUUCACGACUAUUAUCAGCUCACAAACCCCAAUGCUCUGAUUAUACCCCAAUGUCUAUAUUUCAUAUAUUUCAUUGAUCUAUUUAUACAAGUAACUAGGUUAAAUGGUCAGCCAUGUACAGCUGUAUAUAGUCUGUAAUUACAGACUAUAUACAGCUGUAUUCUUAGACUAAUUACAGCAGCUAUCUUAGACUAAUUACAUAGCUAAUUCCUACCAACUCUCCCCCUCAAGUUGGGGCAUAGAUAUCACAAAUGCCCAACUUGGAUAGAGAUGCAUUGAAUAAGUUACUAGUAACAGCAUGAGUCAUAAUAUCAACUGAUCUGAACUUCUAGUAUAGGGAAUUUCAAUUGUCCCGGAAUCAAGAUUAUCUUUGAUGUAGUUCCUAUCAAUUUCAACAUGCUUUGUCCGAUCAUGUUGAACAGGAUUAUUUGCAAUCUUAAUGGCUGCCAUAUUAUCACAAAAUAAUACCAUAGGACCAAACCCAAUCUCCUUUAAGAGAAUUUUCAGCCAAGAGAGUUCUGUGAUAGCAUGAUGCAUAGCUCGAUAUUCAGCCUCUGCACUAGAUAAUGAAACCACGUUCUAUUUUUUACUUUUCCAAGACACCAAGUUGCCUCCAACAAAAGCCAAAUAUCCAGAAGUUGAUUUUCUAUCUAACUUGCUACCAGUAAAAUCAGAGUCUGUAUAUCCAACAACAUCAAAAUGUUCGUGUUUGGAGAAUAAGACACAUUUUCCUGGAGCUGAUUUCAAGUAAGCCAAGAUUCGAUUAACAGCAUUCAUGUGUUGAUCACUUGGAUUGUGCAUAAACUGGCUAAUAACACUGACUGCAUAUGCUAAAUCUGGCCUGGUAUGAGUUAAAUAGAUUAGUCUACCCACAAUCUUUUGAUAUCUUUCCUUGUUUGUUGGAAUCUGAUCAGAAAAGAAGGCUAGGCCAUGAUUCACUUCAAUCGGAGUAUCUAUCGGCUCACACGCAGACAUACCAGUUUCAGCUAGGAGUUCCAAUGUAUACUUCCUUUGGGAAAGGAAGAGUCCUUGCUUAGACCGUGAUACUUCAAUGCCAAGAAAAUAUUUAAGAGUCCCCAAAUCUUUAAUCUCAAAUUCUUUGGCCAAGUAGUUUCGAAGGUUCUCUAUUUCUUCUUUGUUAUUACCUGUUACAAUCAUAUCAUCAACAUAGACAAGAAGCACGGUAAUAUCAUUGUAGUUACGUUUAUAGAACAGCGUGUGAUCUGCUGAAGCUUGCUUGAAUCCAUACUCCUCCAUGGCAUGACUCAAUCUUCCAAACCAUGCCCUUGGUGAUUGUUUUAAUCCAUACAAUGCCUUUUUCAGUCUGCAUACCUUUCCUUCUUCUAGUGUAAACCCUUGAGGAGGAUCCAUGAAAACUUCCUCAGUCAACUCACCAUAAAGAAAGGCAUUCUUCACAUCAAAUUGUCGUAGAGGCCAGUCUAAAUUAACUGCAAGUGACAAUAUAACUCGAACAGUGUUCAUUUUGGCAACCGGUGCAAAUGUCUCUUGAUAGUCAAUACCAUAGGUUUGAGUGUAGCAUUUUGCAACCAGUCUAGCUUUGUAUCUUUCAACUGCCCCAUCAGACUUGUGUUUGACAUUGAAUACCCAUUUACACCCUACGGUCUUCUUUCCCAUUGGUAACUCAACCAUUUCCCAAGUAGAAUUCUUUUGGAGAGCCAUCAUUUCUUCUACCAUUGCAUUUUUCCACUUAGGAUCAUCAAGGGCUUCCUGAAAAUGACUAGGAACAUAUACAGAAGACAACUGAAGAGCAAAUGUCAAGUUAGCCUUAGACAAACGGAGAUAGGAUAUAAAAUCAGAAAUUGGAUAAGAAACAUUGGAAGCUUUUGAAAAACCAAGUCUAUCAUGUUCUUUUCGUUCACGAAGAGGAUAUCUUCUAUUCUGAUCAAUAUUAGGAUAUGAGUCGAGACUUUCAGAAGAAGUACAUACCUUAGUGUCAAUCUUGGAAGAUUCAUUCGAUAGCAUGGUAGUAUCAACAAGGGAGGUACAAGAAUCAGGAGGCAUAACAGUGGUAUCUUUUGUUCUCCUAGAAUAUCCUUUCUCAAAGAGAUGAGCGGGUCUCUCACUAUUAGUUUCAAUUUUAUUUUCCUGACCAUCAUCUAAAACUAAGGAUUCCCCGUUUUCCUUUGCAUUCUCUAUACCUGAGAUCCGAAUCCUUUUUUCUCCUAGCCAUUGUUCUUCCUCUUCUCUACUUUUAAUCUCCCCCUGAAGAGGAACCGCAGACAUAUGUCCAGAAAAAUAAGACUCAUUUUCACAAAAUUGAACAUCCAUAGACACAUAGUAGGUUCUUGUAGGAGGAUGAAAAUAUUUAUAUCCCUUUUGUGAAUUAGAAUAGCCAAGGAAAACACAUUUGAUAGCACAAGGAUCAAGUUUAUCUCUAUGAUGAGAAUGAACAUGAACAUAGCAUACACAAUCAAAAACCUUUGGACAAAUAUUAAGAGCAGAAGGAAUAGAAUUAAAUUUAGAUAACAUUCUCAAAGGGGUUUGGAAAUCAAUAACCUUAGCAGGCAUUCGAUUAAUGAGGAAAACAGCAGCCAUAAUAGCUUCAACCCAAAAAUGUUUUGGAACAUUCAUAGUAAAACGUAAGGCUCGUGCUACUUCAAGAAAGUGACGAUUUUUCCGUUCUGCUGUGCCAUUCUGCUGGGGUGUGUAAACACAAGUGGUUUGAUGAAGAAUGCCAUGUUGUAUCAUAAAAUCUGCAAGAGAUCGAUUCACAAAUUCACGACCAUUAUCAGAAUGAAAAACCUUAAUUUUAGUGUUGAAUUGAGUAAGAAUCAUGUUAUAAAACUGAGGAAUAAUAUGACAAACAUCACUCUUAGAUUUCAUCAAAUACACCCAACUGACUCUAGUACAGUCAUCAAUAAAAGAUACAAAAUAUUUAUGUCCUGAAGUAGAAGUAGUUGAGAAAGGACCCCACACAUCAGUAUAAACACAUGAAAAGGAGUGACACUUUUAUUAAAACUAACUUUGAAAGGAACACGAUGGUUUUUUGCAUAAACACAUUGUUCACAUCUUAAGCUAGAAGUUGAAAUAUUGGAAAAUAACUUAGGAAACAUAUGCUCUAAAUAAGAAAAAGAUGGAUGUCCUAGUCGACGAUGCCACAGGAUUAUUCUUUCUAUUUCUAAUGUCCCACUUUUUGUUUGAAGACCUCGAGUAGAUAUUGUUAUGCCUUGAUUGUCUUCCCAGUAAUAUAAACCAUCCAUCUCCUUACCAAUGCCAAUCGUCAUCUUCGUAAGAUUGUCCUGAAAAACACAAUGAGUAGAGUGAAAAAUGACAGAACAGUUAAGAUGCUUUGUUAUUUUACUAAUGGAGAGGAGAUUAUUUGAGAGUUUAGGUGCAAGUAAAACAGAGGACAUAGAAAACUUUGGUGAAAGAGACACAUUUCCAGCGGCUAUGAUUGGUGUAAAAUUUCCAUUAGCAACCUGUACAGACUUCACAGGUGGAGAUGUAAGAGAGUCAAUGAUAGAAGAGUUACUAGUCAUGUGAUCAGUAGCCCCUGAAUUAAUAAUCCAAGUGCUAGGAUGAGCAGAAAUAACGGACAAACCAAAAAUACCUUCUUGAGAAGAUGCCCGAGACACAUGAGAAGCAGAAGAUGGAGUAGUGUCUAUAGCAACAUUUUGAGCAACAGUAUUAUGAGCAAAUUUUUUAUUUUUCCUCUCAACUUGCUUAAGUUUAUACCAUUCUGGAUAGCCAUGCUUCUUCCAACAAACAUCAAUUGUAUGUGUAUUCUUAUUGCAGUAGGUGCAAAAUCGAGACUGAGAGGCUGUAGAAUUUCCAUUAAUGGUAAUAGGAGUGCUCUUUUGAACAGUUAGAGCUGAAGCCUCAAAGUGUGAUGCUGCUCUCAUGGCAACUUGUCUCUGUAGUUCUCGACGAACCAUGGAGUAGACUUCUUCUAAUCUUGGUAAAGGAGAAGUACCUAGAACACGGCUGCGAACUUGAUCUAACUUAUUAUCAAGCCCAGCAAGAAAAAUAUAAACUCGAUCUUCGGCAAUACGAUUUCUAUAUUUUUUCAUAUCAGCAGCACAUGUCAUGUCAUUGGGCCGUCGAUAAUCGAGCUCCAUAAAGGUUGAGUUUAAUUCGUUGUAAUAUUCUGCUAGAGGCCGACCAUCUUGUUGUAAAUGAAAAGUCUUCUUCAUUAGCUCAUAAACUUCAGAGGAAUCUGAUACAUCAAGAUAACUUCUUUUUACAGCAUCCCAAACUUCCUUUGAUGUGCCGCAUUGUACAAAGUGAGAUAUCAGAUUAUCACUCAUUGAAUUAAUGAGCCAAGAUUUGACAAGAGAAUCUUCAGCUUCCCAUUCAUCAUAACUUGAAUCAUAUACUGCUGGUGCAGCUUUUUUUCCAUUAAUAUAGCCCUUUUUUUUUUCUUCCAGCAAUAUGCAUCUCCAAAAUCUUGGACCAAACUCGAUAAUUAGUGCCAUCCAAUUUAAUGUGGAUGGAAGAAAAAGCAUCUUGUAUGGUUAGAGUGGAGAGAUUCUUGCUGUUAGGAGAUUCAACAUCAGGUUUGGUUGACAUAUUGUGAUGUGAUUAGUGUUUUAGAGAAGAAAUUUCAGCAGUGUGGGCUAUUGAAAGAAUGGCUGGAAUUUUCAGAGAAGAGGAGAGCAAGGAAAAACCCCAAUGCUCUGAUUAAACCGAUUUUGGGGUCACAAGCGGUCCCACUUAAAAUCCAGUCUCCUAGACAGAAGUUACGUGUACGGUGUAUUAUCACAACUAUACCCGUGUAUACAUAAAUAAUACGUACACACAAAUAAGAAAAAUACACCCAAAUGAACCGUAUAAAACACUACAAAUAUACCCGACAAAUAUAGACAAAUAUAUUUGUUGAAUCAAAGCCACAAUUGUGGACUUUGACAAUUUUUUCACAGCUCACAAUUGUGGAUUUUGGUGGCAGAAAUAUUCAUCCCACAUCGAUAGGUUCAUGAAUUGGUGAAGGAUUUGAGAGCUAUAAAUAAUCUCUCAAUCCUUCCAAUUGAAUGGUACCAAGAACAACAAAGAAUUACCCAUAAGGAUUUUGUAAUUCUUUGUAUUCUUUCUUCUCUCCUAAAUUAAAAAAGUAGGCUACUUGAGUGGUGCUCGGAGAGUAGGCAAAAUUGGCCGAACUCCGUUAUCAAUUUUUCGGGUGCGUUUUUUCAUUAUCUCUUUUAUUUGUUCCGUAUUUAUUUAUUAGUUUCUUUUCUAUUGUAGUAUAGUAUUCAAUAUAUCUGUCUAUAUUUGUCGGGUAUAUUUGUAGUGUUUUAUACGGUUCAUUUGGGUGUAUUUUUCUUAUUCGUGUGUACGUAUUAUUUAUGUAUACACGGGUAUAGUUGUGAUAAUACACCGUGCACGUAAGUUCUGUCUAGCAGACUGGAUUUUAUGUGGGACCGCUUGUGACCCCUCCAACCUUUUCUGGGAAUUUAUUUGGAAUGGUAAUUCUGUCUAAGGAGAUUGUUUCGACGAUCUUUCUUGAAAAUUACUGAAUCGGUUUAAUCACUAGUUGUAUUUUUUGAGAGGAAAAUUACCCGAUUUCCCCAACAAGUGGUAUCAGAGCCGAAGGUUCGUCCUUUGGCUUGUUUGUAGUUUGUUAUAUUGAAUACUAUUUUUGAGUCUGUAAUGGCAUCAAACAAUUUCACGUCAAGAAUUAUAUCUGGGGCAUCGGCUUCCUCGUCCAGAUGGUCGAGAAUUCCAAUGUCAAGUUUGAAGGUGGCGGUUGAGACAUUUGACGGUACUUUCUCAAGAUGGUAAGCGAUUGACGAGAUGUUGAGCGUAUGUCACAGCCUCAGCCCAAAACUUUCUGCCUAACCCAGCAUUAGACAGCAUGCAACGUACUUUCUCCACUAGUGUCUUGUUCAUACGCUCUGACACCCCAUUCUGCUGCGGUGUUUUUCUACUUGAGAAAGUACCGUCAAAUGUCUCCACCGCCACCUUCAAACUUGACAUUGGAAUUCUCGACCAUCUGGACGAGGAAGCCGAUGCCCCAGAUAUAAUUCUUGACGUGAAAUUGUUUGAUGCCAUUACAGACUCAAAAAUAGUAUUCAAUAUAACAAACUACAAACAAGCCAAAGGACGAACCUUCGGCUCUGAUACCACUUGUUGGGGAAAUCGGGUAAUUUUCCACUCAAAAAAUACAACUAGUGAUUAAACCGAUUCAGUAAUUUCCAAGAAAGAUCGUCGAAACAAUCUCCUUAGACAGAAUUACCAUUCCAAAUAAAUUCCCAGAAAAGGCUGGAGGGGUCACAAGCGGUCCCACAUAAAAUCCAGUCUGCUAGACAGAACUUACGUGCACGGUGUAUUAUCACAACUAUACCCGUGUAUACAUAAAUAAUACGUACACACGAAUAAGAAAAAUACACCCAAAUGAACCGCAUAAAACACUACAAAUAUACCCGACAAAUAUAGACAGAUAUAUUGAAUACUAUACUACAAUAGAAAAGAAACUAAUAAAUAAAUACGGAACAAAUAAAAGAGAUAAUGAAAAAACGCACCCGAAAAAUUGAUAACGGAGUUCGGCCAAUUUUGCCUACUCUCCGAGCACCACUCAAGUAGCCUACUUUUUUAAUUUAGGAGAGAAGAAAGAAUACAAAGAAUUACAAAAUCCUUAUGGGUAAUUCUUUGUUGUUCUUGGUACCAUUCAAUUGGAAGGAUUGAGAGAUUAUUUAUAGCUCUCAAAUCCUUCACCAAUUCAUGAACCUAUCGAUGUGGGAUGAAUAUUUCUGCCACCAAAAUCCACAAUUGUGAGCUGUGAAAAAAUUGUCAAAGUCCACAAUUGUGGCUUUGAUUCAACAAAUAUAUUUGUCUAUAUUUGUCGGGUAUAUUUGUAGUGUUUUAUACGGUUCAUUUGGGUGUAUUUUUCUUAUUUGUGUGUACGUAUUAUUUAUGUAUACACGGGUAUAGUUGUGAUAAUACACCGUACACGUAACUUCUGUCUAGGAGACUGGAUUUUAAGUGGGACCGCUUGUGACCCCAAAAUCGGUUUAAUCAGAGCAUUGGGGUUUUUCCUUGCUCUCCUCUUCUCUGAAAAUUCCAGCCAUUCUUUCAAUAGCCCACACUGCUGAAAUUUCUUCUCUAAAACACUAAUCACAUCACAAUAUGUCAACCAAACCUGAUGUUGAAUCUCCUAACAGCAAGAAUCUCUCCACUCUAACCAUACAAGAUGCUUUUUCUUCCAUCCACAUUAAAUUGGAUGGCACUAAUUAUCGAGUUUGGUCCAAGAUUUUGGAGAUGCUUAUUGCUGGAAGAAAAAAAAAGGGCUAUAUUAAUGGAAAAAAAGCUGCACAAGCAGUAUAUGAUUCAAGUUAUGAUGAAUGGGAAGCUGAAGAUUCUCUUGUCAAAUCUUGGCUCAUUAAUUCAAUGAGUGAUAAUCUGAUAUCUCACUUUGUACAAUGCGGCACAUCAAAGGAAGUUUGGGAUGCUGUAAAAAGAAGUUACCUUGAUGUAUCAGAUUCCUCUGAAGUUUAUGAGCUAAUGAAGAAGACUUUUCAUUUACAACAAGAUGGUCGGCCUCUAGCAGAAUAUUACAACGAAUUAAACUCAACCUUUAUGGAGCUCGAUUAUCGACGGCCCAAUGACAUGACAUGUGCUGCUGAUAUGAAAAAAUAUAGAAAUCGUAUUGCCGAAGAUCGAGUUUAUAUUUUUCUUGCUGGGCUUGAUAAUAAGUUAGAUCAAGUUCGCAGCCGUGUUCUAGGUACUUCUCCUUUACCAAGAUUAGAAGAAGUCUACUCCAUGGUUCGUCGAGAACUACAGAGACAAGUUGCCAUGAGAGCAGCAUCACACUUUGAGGCUUCAGCUCUAACUGUUCAAAAGAGCACUCCUAUUACCAUUAAUGGAAAUUCUACAGCCUCUCAGUCUCGAUUUUGCACCUACUGCAAUAAGAAUACACAUACAAUUGAUGUUUGUUGGAAGAAGCAUGGCUAUCCAGAAUGGUAUAAACUUAAGCAAGUUGAGAGGAAAAAUAAAAAAUUUGCUCAUAAUACUGUUGCUCAAAAUAUUGCUAUAGACACUACUCCAUCUUCUGCUUCUCAUGUGUCUCGGGCAUCUUCUCAAGAAGGUAUUUUUGGUUUGUCCGUUAUUUCUGCUCAUCCUAGCACUUGGAUUAUUGAUUCAGGGGCUACUGAUCACAUGACUAGUAACUCUUCUAUCAUUGACUCUCUUACAUCUCCACCUGUGAAGUCUGUACAGGUUGCUAAUGGAAAUUUUACACCAAUCAUAGCCGCUGGAAAUGUGUCUCUUUCACCAAAGUUUUCUAUGUCCUCUGUUUUACUUGCACCUAAACUCUCAAAUAAUCUCCUCUCCAUUAGUAAAAUAACAAAGCAUCUUAACUGUUCUGUCAUUUUUCACUCUACUCAUUGUGUUUUUCAGGACAAUCUUACGAAGAUGACGAUUGGCAUUGGUAAGGAGAGGGAUGGUUUAUAUUACUGGGAAGACAAUCAAGGCAUAACAAUAUCUACUCGAGGUCUUCAAACAAUGUUUUUCAUGUGUUUAUACUGAUGUGUGGGGUCCUUUCUCAACUACUUCUACUUCAGGACAUAAAUAUUUUGUAUCUUUUAUUGAUGACUGUACUAGAGUCAGUUGGGUAUAUUUGAUGAAAUCUAAGAGUGAUGUUUGUCAUAUUAUUCCUCAGUUUUAUAACAUGAUUCUUACUCAAUUCAACACUAAAAUUAAGGUUUUUCAUUCUGAUAAUGGUCGUGAAUUUGUGAAUCGAUCUCUUGCUGAUUUUAUGAUACAACAUGGCAUUCUUCAUCAAACCACUUGUGUUUACACACCCCAGCAGAAUGGUACAGCAGAACGGAAAAAUCGUCACUUUCUUGAAGUAGCACGAGCCUUAUGUUUUACUAUACAUGUUCCAAAACAUUUUUGGGCUGAAGCUAUUAUGGCUGCUGUUUUCCUCAUUAAUCGAAUGCCUGCUAAGGUUAUUGAUUUCCAAACCCCUUUGAGAAUGUUAUCUAAAUUUUAUUCUAUUCCUUCUGCUCUUAAUAUUUGUCCAAAGGUUUUUGGUUGUGUAUGCUAUGUUCAUGUUCAUUCUCAUCAUAGAGAUAAACUUGAUCCUCGUGCUAUCAAAUGUGUUUUCCUUGGCUAUUCUAAUUCACAAAAGGGAUAUAAAUGUUUUCAUCCUCCUACAAGAACCUACUAUGUGUCUAUGGAUGUUCAAUUUUGUGAAAAUGAGUCUUAUUUUUCUGGACAUAUGUCUGCGGUUCCUCUUCAGGGGGAGAUUAAAAGUAGAGAAGAGGAAGAACAAUGGCUAGGAGAAAAAAGGAUUUGGAUCUCAGGUAUAGAGAAUGCAAAGGAAAACGGGGAAUCCUUAGUUUUAGAUGAUGGUCAGGAAAAUAAAAUUGAAACUAAUAGUGAGAGACCCGCUCAUCUCUUUGAGAAAGGAUAUUCUAUGAGAACAAAAGAUACCACUGUUAUGCCUCCUGAUUCUUGUACCUCCCUUAUUGAUAGUACCUCCCUUGUUGAUACUACCAUGCUAUCGAAUGAAUCUUCCAAGAUUGACACUAAGGUAUGUACUUCUUCUGAAAGUCUCGACUCAUAUCCUAAUAUUGAUCAGAAUAGAAGAUAUCCUCUUGGUGAAUGAAAAGAACCUGAUAGACUUGGUUUUUCAAAAGAUUCCAAUGUUUCUUAUCCAAUUUUUGAUUUUAUAUCCUAUCACCGUUUGUCUAAGGCUAACUUGACAUUUGCUCUUCAGUUGUCUUCUGUAUAUAUUCCUAGUCAUUUUCAGGAAGCCCUUGAUGAUCCUAAGUGAAAAAAUGCAAUGGUAGAAGAAAUGAUGGCUCUCCAAAAGAAUUCUACUUGGAAAAUGGUUGAGUUACCAAUGGGAAAGAAGACCGUAGGGUGUAAAUGGGUAUUCAAUGUCAAACACAAGUCUGAUGGGGCAGUUGAAAGAUACAAAGCUAGACUAGUUGCAAAAGGCUACACUCAAACCUAUGGUAUUGACUAUCAAGAGACAUUUGCACCGGUUGCCAAAAUGAACACUGUUCGAGUCAUAUUGUCACUUGCAGUUAAUUUAAACUGGCCUCUACGACAAUUUGAUGUGAAGAAUGCCUUUCUUCAUGGUGAGUUGACUGAGGAAGUUUUCAUGGAUCCUCCUCAAGGGUUUACACUAGAAGAAGGAAAGGUAUGCAGACUGAAAAAGGCAUUGUAUGGAUUAAAACAAUCACCAAGGACAUGGUUUGGAAGAUUGAGUCAUGCCAUGGAGGAGUAUGGAUUCAAGCAAGUUUCAGCAGAUCACACGCUGUUCUAUAAACGUAACUACAAUGAUAUUACCGUACUUCUUGUCUAUGUUGAUGAUAUGAUUGUAACAGGUAAUAACAAAGAAGAAAUAGAGAACCUUCGAAGCUACUUGGCCAAAGAAUUAGAGAUUAAAGAUUUGAGAACUCUUAAAUAUUUUCUUGGCAUUGAAGUAUCACGAUCUAAGCAAGGACUCUUCCUUUUCCAAAGGAAGUAUAAAUUGGAACUCCUAGCUGAAACUGGUAUGUCUGCGUGUGAGUCGAUAGAUACUCCGAUUGAAGUGAAUCAUGGCCUAGCCUUCUUUUCUGAUCAGAUUCCAACAUACAAGGAAAGAUAUCAAAGGAUCGUGGGUAGACUAAUCUAUUUAACUCAUACCAGGCCAGAUUUAGCAUAUGCAGUCAGUGUUAUUAACCAGUUUAUGCACAAUCUAAGUGAUCAACACAUGAAUGCUGUUAAUCGAAUCUUGGCUUACUUGAAAUCAGCUCCAGGAAAAGGUGUCUUAUUCUCCAAACACGAACAUUUUGAUGUUGUUGGAUAUACAGACUCUGAUUUUGCUGGUAGCAAGUUAGAUAGAAAAUCAACUUCUGGAUAUUUGGCUUUUGUUGGAGGCAACUUGGUGUCUUGGAAAAGUAAAAAACAGAACGUGGUUUCAUUAUCUAGUGCAGAGGCUGAAUAUCGAGCUAUGCAUCAUGUUAUCACAGAACUCUCUUGGCUGAAAAUUCUCUUAAAGGAGAUUGGGUUUGGUCCAAAAGGUCCUAUGGUAUUAUUUUGUGAUAAUAUGGCAGCCAUUAAGAUUGCAAAUAAUCCUGUUCAACAUGAUCGGACAAAGCAUGUUGAAAUUGAUAGGAACUACAUCAAAGAUAAUCUUGAUUCCGGGACAAUUGAAAUUCUCUAUACUAGAAGUUCAGAUCAGUUGGCUGAUAUUAUGACUCAUGCUGUUACUAGUAACUUAUUCAAUGCAUCUCUAUCCAAGUUGGGCAUUUGUGAUAUCUAUGCCCCAACUUGAGGGGGAUAGUUGGUAGGAAUUAGCUAUGUAAUUAGUCUAAGAUAGCUGCUGUAAUUAGUCUAAGAAUACAGCUGUAUAUAGUCUGUAAUUACAGACUAUAUACAGCUGUACAUGGCUGACCAUUUAAUCUAGUUACUUGUAUAAAUAGAUCAAUGAAAUAUAUGAAAUAUAGACUUUUUAGCAUAAUUAAUAACUCUAAGUUUCAGGAUCAAAACUCUAAUGGCAAAUAGAGCUCGACAAUUGACUUAUUACAAUAACUAGGGCCAAAAUAGUCACAAGAUGAAGGAAGCUAAGUAUCCAAGUCUUCACUAGUAUGAUUCAAUUAGCAGAUGUCCUAAAACUACUACUAUUUUUUCUAGACCUUUAACCUACUGAUACCUGGAUACCAUUUGAUUCUCAAAAUCUUUCUUAUAAGUGCCUAGAAUGGACUGAUUACAUAUCAGUCAAAUUCACCCUCUCAUCAUCACGUAACAUCCCAAUGGAGUUGCAGAAAUCUUUAUCUCCCGUAAACUUGAGAACAAACAAUAGCAAUAGACUUUUCAGAAGUCAUGCAAGGAUCAGAAUUCUGCGUUAGAGAUUCUUUGAGAAGAUCCAAACAGCGUCAAUCUAAUCUGGAGGAGGGCACACUAGGAGUGCAAAUGUCCUGAGCAAGAAUAAGUAACAUAGCUCAUUUUUCAGAUUCACUCGACAUUGUUUAUAACUGAGUUACAAGAAAAAUUCAACUUUCAGAAGAAUCUAACUCAAUUAAGCUCCUUCCCUAAUCAAAUUAUGACCAGCUCAGCUGAAGGUAUCCAACUUGGUCAAAAGUGAGUAAAGUAGAUUUGGACCAAGUUUGAGUCAAGUUAGAGCAUUUGUGUACUCGCAUGGCAAGCCUGUCAACCUUCAUAGAUUCUAACAUAAAAAUAUUUCUUCCAAGUUAUGUAAAUUACCAAAACAACCAAUGCAAAAGAUCCCCAAUUUUGCCUUAUCCAAGACUCAAACUCAAGUGGAGUCAACCUCAUUCACUCACUGGUUUAGUCUAGCUCAAUCUCCACAAGCUACAAAAGGAGUAGUCACAAUUUUCAAUCUAUCUCAGCUCAAUAAGCUAGAUACUAGACUUGACUCAAUUUGAUUAUAACAAUAGGUAUUUUGGGAGGAAAAUCUAGUCACCAUAUUAUGAGUGACCAAUUAGUAUUUAUAGUAGUACAAACCUAACAAACUAUUUACAAGAAUACCCUUACUAAUCUAUUAUCUACAAUGAUACUUAUAUUCUCUUAACACUCCCCCUCAAAUUAAAGCAUAUAUAUCAUAAGCACCCAAUUUGUUACAAAUGUAUUUCACCCUAGAACCUCCUAAACUCUUGAUAAACAAAUCAGUCAAUUAGUCCACAGACGGUACAUGAGAUGUCUUGCUGACUCCAUCAAGCAAUUUCUCUCGAAUGAAAUGACAAUCAACUUCAAUAUGUUUUGUCCUUCCAUGAAACACUGGGUUAGACGCAAUAUGAACAGCCGCCUGAUUAUCACACACUAAAUUCAUAGGUUGUUUAUGCUCAAACCCAAUUUCAAGUAACAUGCUCUUCAACCAAAUCAAUUCACACACAAUAUGAGUCACAGCGUGGUAUUCAGAUUCUGCACUUGAUCUGGAGAACUGUUUGCUUCUUACUCUUACUCUUCCACGAUACUAAGUUACCACCAACAAACACACAAUAUCCUAUGAUCGAUCUACGAUCCGAGGCAGACCCAUCCCAAUCUGCGUCUCUAUAUCCUUCAAUAUCAGUGUGUCCAUGAUUUUGAUACAGCAAUCCUUUUUCAAGAGCACUUUUAAGAUAUCUGAGAAUUCGUAUAACAGCAUCCUAAUGACUGGUACGAGGGGUCUCAAGAAAUUGACUCACGACACUCAUUGCAAAUGAAAUGUCAGGUCUCGUUACAGUGAGAUAAUUUAAUUUACCCACAAGUUUUCGAUAUUACUUAUGAUCAUCUAGUAAUGCACCUUGAUCUCCUACAUUAGAAUCCAUAAGAGUAUCCACAGGUCGGCAACCUAACAUCUCAACUUCAUUCAGCAUAUCGAGUACAUAUUUCUUUUUACAUAAAUAAAUCUCAGAUUUAGAUUGAACUACCUAAAUAUUCAAAAAAUACUAUAAAUGACCUAAAUCUUUCGUCUGAAAGUUUGCCUACAGAUUAGAUUUAAGUUUCUAGAUCCCCAUAACAUCAUCACCUAUAAUCACAAUAUCAUCCACAUAAACAACUAAUAAAAUUUUACCAGCAUUAGAAUGCCGACAAAAUACAGAGUGAUCUACUUCACAUCUUGUCAGACCGAACUCCAUGACAACACUACCAAAUAGGCCAAACCAAGCCCUAGGAGAUUAUUUCAAUCUAUAUAAGGAUUUUUUCAAGCGACAAACCAACCGCGAAUUCUCUUCCUGAACAACAAAGUCAGGAGGUUGUUCUAUAUAUACUUCUUCUUCCAAAUCUCCAUGUAAAAAUGCAUUUUUCACAUCCAACUGAUUCAAUGGUCAAUUAUAAGUUGCUGCUAAAGAGAUAAGAAGACGAACCGAGAUUAUCUUUGCAACAGAAGAAAAUGUUUUUAAGUAGUCUAUUCCAUACACCUGAGUAAAUCCUCUAACUACCAGACGAGUCUUCAAUCUAUCAAUAAAACCAUUAGACUUCACUUUUAUAGUGUACACCCAUUUACAACCAACAACAGACUUACCAGAAGAAAGAGGGACAAGAUCCCAAGUACCAUUUUGUUCCAACGCAGACAUCUCUUCUUGCAUAGCUAAUCUCCAAUCAGGAUAAUUAAGAGCAUGGGUAAUAGACUUAGGAAUGGAGACAUAAUCAAGGGAAGCAACAAAAGAAGAAUAUGACAUAGAGAGGCGAGAAUAAAAAAUAAAAUUAGAAAUAGGAUGAGAAGUACAAUGCCUCUAACCUUUGUAUAAAGCAAUAGGAAGAUCUAACUCAGAGAAAGGCGUCAUACCUGGAUUUGAAAAUUAAAAGUUAAUUGGUGAAAUGCGUGGCAUAUCAGGAGCUUUCUCAACCAUGGAACGACAAGAAUAAACUUGAAAAUUAGGACGAGAUAAACGAGCUAUGGAAUCUGGUGGACUAGAUAACUUGGGUAAUAAAGAAGAAAGGACUGGUAAAACAGGAGAGGAAAAAGAGGGACGGACUCACAAGGCAUACCGUGUUUCAUAAAAUAUGGAGUGGAUUCAAAGAAAAUAACAUCAACACAAGUAAAAAAUCGAUUUAAAAUUGGAUUGUAACAUCUAUACCCUUUUUGUGCGUAUCCUAAGAAAAUAUAUUUAAUAGCACGAGGAUCUAAUUUAUCCACCCCGAGUGCAAACUGAUGAACAAAGCACAUACAUUCAAAAAUAUGAUGAGGUAAUUUAAACACAAAUUUAUGAGGAAAAAGAAUGGAGUGAUGUAAUUGGCCUCCAAGAAUAUUAGAUGACAUGCGAUUAAUUAAAUAACAUGCAGUUAGAACUGCAUCACUCCAAAAUUAUUUGGGCACAUUCAUGUGCAACAAAAGUGUUCGAGCAAUUUCGAUUAAAUGUCUAAUUUUUCUUUCAACAACUCCAUUCUGUUGUGGAGUGUAAGGACAAGAGAACUGAUGAAUAAUACCGGACUUAAUCAUAAAGGUAUUAAAAGAAGUGAAAAAAUAUUCUUUCGCAUUAUCACUGCGAAGUAUACGUAUAUGCACACCAAAUUGAUUCUUUAUUUCUAUAACAAAUGCACAAAAAAUGAAAUAUAGUUCUGAACAAUCUUUCAUUAAAUAAAUCCAUGUAACUCUAGAAAAAUUAUCAACAAAAAUUAAAAAAUAUUUAAAACCUAAUUUUGAAGUGACUCGACUAACACCCCAAACAUUAGAAUGAACUAACAAAAAGGGUUUAGAAACCCAUUUAUUGACUCUAGGAGCAAAAGAAACAUCAUGAUGCUUUCCUAACUGAUAAGACUCAUAUUCUAACGAAGACAAUUGACUCAAAGUAGGAACCAACUUUUUCAAAUUUUGUAGAAACGGAUGACCCAAACGACAAUGAAUUUCAAGAGGAGAAACAGUAGCAGGACAUGCAAUCGAACCAUUGGAGUUGAAAAAAUAAAGACCAUUAUGCUCAUGCCCUCCACCAAUCGUCUUCUUUGUCUUCAAAUCCUAAAUGACAACAAAAUCAGGAGAAAAAGUAACUGAACACUGUAGAAAUUUAGUGAGCUUACUAACAGACAUUAGAUUAAAUGGCAAAUUGGGUACGUAAAGAACAGAAGACAGCGGAAGAGAUGAGUUAAUUUCUACAGUGCCUAGUGCUUUAACUUUAGUGAUAGAUCCAUCAGCUAAAUUAACAUUAAAAAAGGAAGUAAACUCUUGAAAAUUAGAAAAAUUUUUAAAGGUACUUAACAUAUGAUCAGUAGCUCCGGAAUCAAUAAUCCAUGAGUCAAAAUUAGAGGAUGUGGAGAGACAAGCCAUAGCAUUACAUUUUUGUGCUAAAGAAGCAAAGGGAAGAGAUGCGUGAUUUGUAGUUUGGUACUAUAGGAAUUUAACAUAAUCUUUCUCGCAUAUAGUAAAAGUCUUCUGGGACCCAUGUGCUGAAGAACUUGAUUCAACUUGGUCAGUGGUAACUAUAUUAGCAAACCGAGGAAGUUUUCCAACUAAAUCCCACUAAGGAUCACAAGUGUGAUUUUUCAACCACAAUGAGUGCACUCACGGGUGAUUUGAGGCAUCAUUAUUGGCAAAAUAUUAGCGGACGUCAUGAUACCUUUUGAUAAACUUUAAGCCAUAGCGAAUAGCACUUCAAACAAAAAAAGCAGUCAAAAUUCAUGAUGAAUAGUACAUGAUGAACAGUAUCGCCUAAACAGUACGCCAUGACCAAUAUCGCGUGAACACGAAUUUUGCUAGAUGUUUAACCCUAACCCUAAGACUUUUGCUCUGAUACCAUGACAAUAGCUAUUUUGGGAGGAAAACAUCUAAUCACCAUAUUAUGAGUGAUCAAUUAGUAUUUAUAGUAGUACAAACCUAACAAACUAUUUACAAGAAUACCCUUACUAAUUUAUUAUCUACAAGGAUACUUAUAUUCUCUUAACAGAUUAAACCACCUAGGAAAGCAGGUAUCCAAACAUAUGCCUUGAGGGAUAACUGCUAGUAAGUAAUGCAAAUAAUCUGUACAUGAUAUAGCAAAAGUAUAACUUCAACUGUCCAAAAGGCAACUAAUAACACAGUCAAAGGAAAUAAAACACUAAAAACAAAAAAGUCAUGAAAGAAAUUCAAAAAAAAUUUCCCGAGUUUUUCAGAGACAUAAAUCCAAUAUUGGAGAACACCUAAAGGAACUCAAGCUCCAAAAAAUAAUAAAUCUUGAGCAACUAAAACACUGUUCAGUAAACCUCGAACACUCAACAGUAGAUAAUGUCUCAGGUAGGGGUGGAGCUGAGUCGAGGAGUUCGACUCGAGCUCGAUAUGUACUCGGUCAGAAGCUCGAUCUCGAGCUGCUCGAUAGAGCUAUCGAGUCGAGUUCGAGCCCAUAAAUUUGAUACUCGAAAGCUCGACGAGCUCUAUUGAGUAUCGCAUAAAAAAUUAAAAAAAAAUUAUAUAUAAAAUUACUAAUAUAAGUAAAUAAGUUCUGAGGAAUAAUUAUGGGUGAAGUGAUAAUUAUACUAAAAAGAAUAGUCAACAAGUUCCCACUUCCCGCCCAGACUUCCCAUCGAGCCUUUCUAGCCUUUCUAGCCUUUCAGCCAAUUCCCACUUCCUACUUCCCAUUUCCCAUUUCCCAUCGAGCCUUUCUUCCUCUUUCCAACUCCCAAGUCGUGUCUCUGUUGCUAGCUCGUUGAAGCUUCCCAGAGCAGCUAUUGAUUUGCUUAUCCAUCGCCGAUAGCUUUUGAAUCCGCCUGUAAGUUCAGAAUCUCCUUAUCUCCUUUUUGAAUUUAUGUAUUAAGCAUGCGGGUAAGAACUUGGUUGUAUUAUGUAUUAAGCAUUUAAGCAUACUGGUAAGGAAAACGUGAGGAAAAUUUGUAUUUUAAGCUUGUUGCUGAAAUUGUUGGUUACUAUAUUUAGAUUUGGUCACCACAACCCGUGCAUCUGAUAUGAAAGCCUCCUCGUCUUCUACGACCUUUUACUUUUUCUUCUCCUUCUCUUGAAUCUCUGCCACCCACUAGCUAUUUAGUGAAGAGUCUUCAAAGAGAGAAUUUUGGGUUAAAGAUUGAUUUGUUAUUUCUGUCUUUCUGUGCAAUUUCUCAUAAAUUGGAUACGAGCAAGGUUUUUUUUUUUUUGCUAGAGGAAUCACUUGUUUUCUCUUGAGCCUGUUGGCAAAGGUCUGAAUGCUGCCAAGGCACGUCAACAGCAUGAUACCCAGCAAAAGCUAAGAAACAACCAUAUUGAUUAAUGAGCAUUGCUGAUUUCAUAUUGUUCAUGUUUCUAAGAAUGGAACUCCUAAAGUUUUUCUUCAGUACGUGUCAUCUGACCUCCAUGUUAGCAUAUCUAGAACAAUAUUUGAACUUCCUAUAAUUGGUUUAGUUGGUCCUAGCUAACAAAAGUAUAAAGUUAGGGAUGAAGCAACACAAGUAUAAGGGCAGGUAUGUAUGGAUUUGCCAAGUAUGAUAAAAAGCAGGGAUGAAGCAACACAAGUAUGAAAUUUCUUUUCCCUUUAGCGCAAGUCAAAAGAUAUUUGAGACAGUUGAAAGUUGUUUUUAUUUUAAGCCUUUGAAAAAAAUGUAGGAAGAGUAUAUCAUAGCAUCUGAUUACUGUGAUUAAUACAGAUUUAUACAUUUGUUGAUGAUCAAAGUGUGAUUAAUGAAAUGUGGCAGGUUUAAUCUUUUCAUUACUGAAAAGAAUUAUCAGCAGAACCUCAAAAAAUGUAUUCUUUAUUUAAUUCAUAUGCCUAAAACUUCUCUAAAUAAUUAUCAGAGCAAGGUUUUUUUUUUUAAAUAGUUUGUUUACACCCUAAAAGUCUCUGAAAUUCAUGGUGAAAGCCUCCGUUAAUGGAUGUGUCUUUCUUUAGCUUGAAAAUUUCCUUGCCCUGAUUUGAAAAUUUGUUGUCUUUCUUUAGCUUGGAGCCUUGGACUGCAUGUGUUUAUGGCCUGAUGUCAACCCAAGACAAGGGCAGUCAACCCGAGAUUUCUUGUAUCCCACUGGUUUCCAAUGCUGAUUCAUGUACUCCAUUGAUAUUGGACAACCCAAUAUUUGUCUCCAAUGAGUCAACGAUGAAUCCAGGAGACGUGAUGACUAAUCCAAUUACACAAAGUACUCCUUUGGGUAAUAUACAAGAAGGACAAGAAGCUGUGGUUGCUGACGAUAACAAUGAAGAAGGAGAAAAUGAUAAAUUAGAUGAAGAUGAUGAAUUCCAUAUUCCAAAACGGAAUAAAACUUCUGAAGCUUGGGAGGACUUCAACGAAUUUGAAGAAAAUGGCAAUUACUAUGCCAUUUGCCGUUACUGCAAUAAAAAGCUAUCGAGGGGUAAAUCAAAGCAAACAACUAGCUUGUGGCGGCACCGAAACUCAUGUCCAUCUAGAAAAGCAAGUUUAAGACAAGCUGCACAACAAACGAAACUGAACUUUCAGCCGGCUGAUGAUGCAUUUCCUACUAUACCACCUUUGCAUACCGAAAAAUUUGACAUGGAGAAAAUGAGAGAAGCCGCUGCACAUUGGAUUGUGAUGCACGAACAUCCCUUCACCAUUCUUGAAGAAGAAGGUUUGAAUAUUUUCCUAAAGCGUGGCAUGCCCGAGUGGCAAAAGAUCACUAGAGGAGUAGCAAAAAAUGAUUGUGUGGCAGUCUAUGAACUUGAGAAAAAGAAGCUGAAGAAAAAGUUGAGAAAUGUGAUAAAGGUGAGCCUCACAACCGAUCUUUGGAAAUCCAAAAAUCAAAAGAUCGAAUAUAUGGUUAUUACUGGCCAUUGGAUUGACUCGGAUUGGAAGCUACAAAAGAGAGUGCUCAACUUUGUUCACAUACCACCUCCUAAACGAGGGGUUGAGAUUGCUGCUUCACUCUUCAAGUGUGUGAAGGAUUGGGGUAUUGAGCAAAAAAUAUACACAAUUUCAGUUGACAAUGCUUCAGCCAAUGAUGUGGCUAUUAGAGUUUUGCGGGAUGAUUUUAGUAGAUCGAAGAAACUAUUAGGUGGCGGCAAGUUGUUUCAUGUUCGAUGCUGUGCGCAUAUCUUGAACCUUAUUGUUCAAGUCGGCCUUUCUGAGAUUGCGGACAUUGUAAACAAAAUUAGGGACAGCGUCGAUUUUGUCAAUCGCUCGGAGACCAGAUCAUUGUUGUUCGCUGAGAUUGCACAACAACUUCAAAUACCCGGGAAGAAGUUGCUUUAUGAUUGUCGAACAAGAUGGAAUGCCACCUUCGAAAUGUUAAGCUGUGCUAUGAAGUUCAAAGAUAUUUUUCCUCGUUUUCAAGAUAGAGAUCCACUCUAUGAUUCCUGUCCAGCUUAUGAGGAUUGGGAAAAAGCAGAAAAAGUGUGCUCUGUGUUAGAGAAAUUUUGGGCAGCCACACAUGUGAUAUCCGGGAGUGAAUAUCCUACGAGCAAUUUGUUCCUUCAAGAGGUUGUGAAAAUUAAGAAAGUCUUAGAUUCUCGAGCAAAUGAUGAAAAUGACUUCAUCCGAGCUAUGAUUAGAAAGAUGAAGGCCAAGUUCGACAAAUAUUGGGGCGAAUGCAAUUUGUUAAUGGCUAUUGCUGCCAUUUUAGAUCCAAGGCAGAAAAUGAGAGUUGUUGAGUUUGCCUUCCCUCAAAUGUUUCCAUCUUUUGAGGCACAAGAACAUAUUUUCAGCGUGAAGAAAGCUUUAUUUGAGCUUUAUGAUGAGUAUGCAGAUUUGAAUGCAACUGGAAAUGAAAAUGCAGUCCACUCAUGUGCUUCAGAAGGGCCACAAAAAAAUGCAACAUCUUCUUCUAGGUGGGUUGACUUUGAUGAGUACUGUGACGAAAUGGAGACUACUGAGCCACAGAAAUCUGAAUUGGUGGAUUAUUUAGAAAAGGCUAGCCUAAAGACUGGUUCCAACCCAAAUGCCUAUGAUUGUUUGGAGUGGUGGAAAAGCAAUAGGGUUGCGUAUCCAAUAUUGUCCGAAAUGGCGGCUGACAUCUUGGCUAUUCCUAUAACUACAGUGGCAUCUGAGGCCACAUUUAGUGCCGGAACUCGAGUUAUUGAUAGCUAUCGUGCUUCGCUUCAUCCAGAUACGGUUCAAGUGUUGUUGUGUGCAGGGGACUGGUGUAGAAAGCUUCACGGGAUCUCAAAGAAAGUGAAAGUAAGUUUUAUUGUUUUAUCAUUCAACUUUUGUGGCCAAGUUCAACAAGUUAUGACUUCUUUUCUUUCUAAAUUAUUUGCCUUGGGUGGUUUUUAUUGUAAAUGCAGCAAGCUAAAAUAAUCAAAGAAAUUGAAUUGCCCAAGAUUUGAAGGUCUAUUGCAAAGGGCUCAUUUUGAAUCAGGUUUGGCAUUGUGGUUAUCUAGAGUUCUCGAUAAUUUUGUACCUUAAUUUGAUUCAUUUUUUGUCUUUGGUGAUAUUUGACAGGACUUAUAUUUUUUUGGUUGGCAAUAGGUGUUAGAAACUUGGAAUUUUGGAAUCUGAACUCUAUGCAGUUAACAUCUCAAAUGACUUGUCUCAAAUCUGUACAGCUAUAGUGAAUUUGGUGACUUUUUUACUCAAGCAAAUGUUGACACUUGACAAGCUGUGGUUGCCAGUUGUGUUUUGACUUUUUUGACUCAAAUCUGUACAACUUUGGUGAAUCUGGACAUUUUUUUGACUGUUGACAAGCUGUGGCUGCCAAGUUGUGUUUUGACUUUUGACUUUGGACUCAAAUCUGCAUAGCUAUAGUGAAUCUGGUGAUUUCUUUGACUCAAGUGAAUGUUGUAUAGCUACUACCAGGUUGUAUUUUGAUUUUUGACUAAAAUCUGUACAUGAGUUGCUGUAUAGAAUCUUGGCAAUGGAUCUUAAUAGAAUGUUGUAUAGAGAACUUGAUCUCAAAUCGUACAGAGUUCAGUGUAUUGUGACUAAAUGCUAUUAAUAUCAAGUUCUCUAUUUCUUUUGCUUACAUGGCUAUUUUGGCUAUUGAGAAACUAUCAUUUUUUCUAUCAUAUUAACUAGUUUGAUACUGUUGCUUUUAGAGUGCUUGAAUCACAUGGUUGGCAUUUGCGUUGAAAUGAAGCAAAAUGCAUGUUUUAAUAUGAAUUGCUAUAUUGAAGGAUAGCACAGUUUUUUGCGCUCAAUUUUUGCUGAAUUCUCGUCUAGAAAACAAAUGUCUUCGAGCUCAUUUUACGAGCUUAGUUCGAGUACUCGAGCUCGAAUCUUAUACGAGUCGAGCUCGAGCAGUACUCAUAACCUUCGAGCUCGAGCUCGAGUAUGGUACUACUCGAGCUCGACUCGGCUCGACUCCACCCCUAGUCUCAGGUGACCUCUUAUCAUCACUUUGAUUUUCAUAAGCUUCUAUUUCUUAGUCAUGGCUUAGGAACAAACAUCUGAACCUUAUGGAGAGAAAUAAGAUUCUUCAGGUAUCCACAACAAAAUCUGGUGAGAUUAGAAAAGAUGUAUUUAGCAAAAACAUUCUAAUAAACUAUUUAUUGAAUACUAUUCUGAAAUAGCCAUCCUAUUACAUUUUCUCAACAAACUGUUCUGCACAAAAGGUUUGUAACACCUUAGUAGGAAAAUCUCGACAAAACACUCAUAAAAAUCAUUACAAAAGUUCAAGAGCCGAAACACUCAUGAAAAGGUGCUCUGAUUUUAAAAAAAUGGGUAAAGUAUAUUCAAAGACGAGUAAAAUCUUUGAAAUAACUUACAUAGACACAUUAGACGGGUCCAACAAGUCCACGUGUACAUAAUACGAAAAACAACUCAAGCUCCAAACAAUUCAUAUUACUCAAACUUAUCUCUCAAGCAGUGUUUUAUCAAUGUGGAAUUGAAAUUUAAAACAGAAUCAAUUUGAUCCAGGUAAUAAUCAUUACGGUAUUUCCAAAACCAUGACUAGAAAAUCAAACAUGAGGAAUCAAUAAACUACAGAUGACUCUACAAAACAGGAAUUACCUGUGUGUAGCAAAAACUUAAAAUUGCUAUCACAAAAAAUGCAAAACCUUACAUCAAUCCACUCAUAUAAAUAAAACUUAAGCAAGUUUGGUAAACAAAGUUUUCAAACUAGUUUGGAUAAGACGUCAGCUGGUACAAGAUGUUAGCCAUUACACUACUUAAAACGUAAAACUGGACUGACUAUCUGGUGACUACUACAGACUCAAAUGAUAAACAUAGAUUCAGUGGUAAAGUUAAUCCAGCAAAGAUGGAAAAGAGAAAUAUUCUGUGCCAUACCUUAUUUUCCAAUUUGUCCAUUCAUACCAUUUCCACACAAAUGAGCUCUUCAGGGACUCUCAGACAAUAUAAUCCACCUGCAAUGAUCCAUUUACAGCUUUCAAUACUUAAUGAAGGGACUUGAAAGCAACUGUAAAACCAUAUCAAAUAGCUUAGAAAUGUUUCCUUCAGUGAAAGCCACAUCAAGUAAAAUAGAGAGAGUGGAUGAAUGCAGCACGAGACCUUCUGAAAGCAUUUCAUGAAUAUGCAUUCUUGUGUCAGCAUAUCUAUCCUCUCUGAGAUACCUACGAGCAGUAAGCCCUAUGCAGAGACUUUGGAUGGACAAGUAUAUGCUUCCUUUUGCUUAAGAUACUCUUUAGCUUCCUUGAUCAGUUCCAUUUCAUAACGGCCAUGUAUCAUCAUCAUACUGCAGCUACAACAUCAGGAUGCAAUUCUUCAUUCUGAAGACUUACAAUGUACUUCCCCAUGGGGAUUGGGAGGAAACUUUAGAACUGUAUCAAGAAGAUUAAUUCCUUCAGUGGAAACUAAAUCCAGUAACACUGAAACAGUGGAGGCAUCUGGAGAAAAACCUUUCCCAAACAUUUCCUCAAGAUGCAUUUUUGCCUCAGCAUAUCCACCGCCUUUAAGAAAUCCAUGAACAAUAGUAUUGUAUGCACGGCUAUCUAGCAAGUAACCAUCAGCUUUCAUUUUCACAAGAAACCCUUCAGCUUCCUUUAGCUUUCCUGUUUCACAAAGUCCUUUAAUCAGUGUUGUGUAAGUCACAACACUAGGAUGCAAUUUUUUACUAUGAAGACUGCAGAAAACACUUAGUGCAAUGUCCAGUUUCCCACUUUUGCAAUAUCCAUUUAUGAUGAUGGUGAACAUAGCAAUAUGAAGUUCUACACCAUCACUUUCCAUCUUUUGUAAUAAUAGAAAUGCUUCAUCAAUAUGGCCAUUUUUGCACAAACCUUCUAACAUGACACAAUAAGUGUGAAAACCAGGUUUUAGUGCAGCAGCUUGAAUAUCAUCGAAAACUUGUUUUGCAGUGGCACACCUUCCUGCCCCAUAUAAACCUUGCAGCACUAUGUUAUAAGUAGCAAUAUCAGCUUUCAAACCUUUAGAUGGAAUUUCUCUGAAGAGCUGCAUAGCUUUGUCCACUUUCUUUUUCUUGAAAUAUCCGUAGAUUAAAAUACUAUAGCUGUGAAUAUCAAUACCCGGUCCUCCGGCAUUCAUUAGAUCAAAAACUUUUCUUGCCUCACCCAUUUGGCCCUGUAAACAAUAUCCAUCUAGCAGUGUUGUGAAGGUGAUGGUAGUAGGAUUUUCACCACGCUUAAUCAUGACACUAAUAAUGCCCUCCGCACCUUUAAUCUGUCCCUCCUUACUAAGCAUAUCAACCAACAUGUUGUACAUACAAAUAUUUGGAGAAAUAUCAAAAUCAGUCAUUCCAUCCCAAAGCUUUUUAGCCUCCUUCCAUCUGCCAUUGUUACAUAGGCCUUGAAUCAAACAAGUAUAAGUGAUGACAUUUGGGGAAAUGCCCUUAUCAAUCAUCUCAGCAAAAAGGGCAAGAGCAUCAUCAACCAUCUUAUCCUUACACAAGCUGUCAAUGAUAGUGCUAUACACGAUAGUAUUGGGCUUACACUUUCCUCUUUCCAUUAUCCUAAGAAAUUCAAGGGCAACGUGAAUGUUCCCAACCUUGCACAGCCCAUCUAUUACAGUCCCAAACAUAACCUCAUUGGGUUGGCAUAGUCUUUCAUAUAUUAUCUUCUUGAAUAAUUCUUGUGCCUCGGCAACCCUUUGUUGCGCAAAGAGCCCUUUAAGUAAAGUGGUGAAGGUGGUCACAUUGGGUGCAUAACCGCGCUUGAAUAAGGAUCCCAAAGCAUAAAAAGCACAAUCCACCCAACCCAUCAGACAGUAACAGUUAAUCACUAUAUUCAAGGGAUAACCAUCAAUAGGAAAGCCCAAGAAACACAUAUCCUUGUAAAGGGAAAUUGCAGCAGAGUAUUGCUUCAUCUUAACUACUCUACCAAGCAAUUUGGUGAAUUGAAUAACAGAUGGCAGAGGCCUCAUGCCGACCAUAUGCUUGUAUAAAUCCAAAGCAUCAUCAAGCCUGUCAAUAUUAUCAAGUAACCCAGAUUUAAACAACCUCCGAUUGCUAGACUCAAUACUCCUUUGAGACUGAAGAGGGGCAGGAAAAGCACUAAAAUUUCUACUCAUAUAACUAAAGGGUAACCAAAAACGAGGUGGGCUUGGGGAGAUAUGCUCAACAGAAAUACCUGCUGCGACAUUGCGAUCGAAAGAAGUGAUGACUGGUGCUCUUCUCGCUCUAGCAGCCAUCCGAGAAGUGUCUCUCCAUCUUUGUCCGAGACGUAGUGAAUAGUGAUACAUCCCUGCUCUGCAAAUCAGCGAUUUCAUUUGCUGUUACAAGAAAGAACGGAUAGUUUCAGAAACCUCCUCGAGGUUUCCAACGAUUACACCUAACACUCUUGAGAUUUUUAAUGGGAUACUUUCAAAAAUCACUCCUGAGGUUUCUGGCAAUUUUGCUUAGCUCUCUUAGGUUUGAAAAAUUACACUUAUCUCCCUUAAUUUGAUAGUUUUAGUAACAAAAUCUUAAAAUAAUAUUAACUUGAUCAGAUUUUUAAAUAAAUACCUAAAAAUACCCUUGUAUAAUGAGUUUUAAUUUAUUUUCCUAUACAAUUAUAAGAUUAUCUAGUAUAAAAGGUGUCAAAUGUUUUAUGUCCAUAUCUAAUAUUUGAUAAACAACUAUAAUAAUAAUUUUAUCACUAUGAUAGGAUACUUUUGAUAAUAUUUUAUUAUGAAUUUAGAUUUAUAAGAUAGAAAAUAAAAUAUUGAAAUAAUUCAUUUAGAAUUUAUGAAUUUUUCGAGUAGUGAGAUUACCAUAAUUUAGUAGCGGUUUUAGACCAUUUAUUUUUUAUUUAUUGUUAAUUUUAACACCAAAAAAUAGAAAACAAAGAUCAGCAAAAAUAUUGGAUUACAUAUAAGUUAACUCAUCAAAAAAAAUUAUUAGUUUGGCAUUUGGUUAUAAUAGAAACUAAAGGCACUAGUGGUAGUUUUACAGUUUUAUUGGCAAAAAUUAAAAAAAAAAGAAUAAGAAGAAAAAAGAAUGAAAAAAUUAAUUUAAAAGUCAUUCUAAAUAUAAACAUACCAAACAAGGGAAUUUCAUUAAAAUAUUUAAAGAUAGUAUUGUCAUUUUAAAUAACAAGAGAGGUAUGUGUAAUUUUUAAAACCCAGAGGGAGCUAAAUGAAAUUGUUAAAAACCUCAAGGGAGGUUUCUAAAAUUAUCCCCUUUUUAAUAUUACACAUACUUCGCUUGACCUUAUGAAAUGACCAUAAUAACCUUAACUUAUUAAUAUUUUUUCAUGCAAUUAAAUAAUUUGCUUCUAAUCUUGUGCAUAUGAAUGCAUCACACAAUUAGACAUUUAAUAAAAACAAAAAUAAAAUUCACUUGUGGAAUAACUAAUUAUGUUCUAACCACAAUUUUAACACAUUGCAAAAUAAUUUUAGCUUUGUUUGGACAAUCUAGAAAUGAAUAGAAAAAAAUGUAAGUUGAAGGUUUAAAAAGGAUGGGGUUAGUGUUGAUAUUCUAACAUUUGAGGGAUGGAAUGUUAUGUUACUACAGUUGGUGAAAUUUUUUGAGUUUAACAAUGCUAAUUUAUUUUUUUUCUUUAUUAACUUAGAUUGAGAUUUUAGAAUUUAGAAAUUGAUGGUUGUAAUGGUCAUGAUGAUAAUGGUACUAUUUUGAAAUAUGGAGAUAUGAAAAAUUAAACUAGUAGAGGUAAGAGUUAAAAGUGGGAUUGAGAUUUUAUGUUCUAUACAUAUAUUUUUAAGAAUUUUAUAAGAAGAUAAAAUAAAAUUCACAAUUUCAUGAGAGCCUUUUGGGUUAUUCAUGCAAAAUUUUGGCCAUUGAAUAGUUUUUGUUGCCAAUACAGUACAUUUAAAAGAGGUAUGUUUAAUUUUUGAACUGCAAAAGAACCAAGUGAAAUUGUCGAAAACUUUAAGGAAGGUUUCUAAAAUUAUCCCUAAAACGAAAAUGGUUUUUUAUGGAGUAUUCGGAUUUGGGAAAUUUGCCAAUUUGGUGCUUGAACUUUUACUGUAAGAUCUUUUCUGUCCUCGUGGUUUUUUUUUUUACCAAUUUAGUUCUUAAACUAUAUUUUUUAUUUUAAGACAGGACUUCUAUGGUGGCACAGCCACAUUUUUAUCUAUUUUCCACCACCAGUUAGGGGUAUUUUUCGAACAUCAAAUUAGAUUUGCUUCCCCCAUUCCCAAAAAGAUUAUCGCUUUUCAAGAGAAGUGCUUUUUAUCAACAAUGAAGACAAUUUGAUCCAUUUUAUAUUAUUUUCCUAUUAUGCCCUUACAGAACAUACUCGCUAGCAAAGAAAUAUCUAAAAGUCACUCGAUCAUGCAUGUAAAUAUGUGUGGGAUUGAUACGAACCUACUCGAAGGUAUGAACUCGUAUCCCACGUAAUCCCGGAUCUAGACGAAAAAAAUCAAGUUGAGUUGCGGAAUAACACUUGACCCUUCUAACCCUAGAUUGCGAACCUUGAAAUGAAUCUCAACCCACAAUCAAUCGAGUAAGUGAACCAAUGUUAAGAGUAGGAGAACGCUACAACCAAAGUGUGUACUUGAUUGAUAAGUUCGAGAAAUACUCUCGAGUAAUUCUCAAGUAUUCAAAAGAGACUCUCUUGGACAAGAGAAAAGGUGUUUAACACACAAAAUUUGAUAUAUUCCAAAACUAGAGAAACGUUGGGAGUGUUUGGCUAUUUAUAGCCUUACAUAUACUCAAGGCCUAAUGUGAUUUGAAACCACUUAUUACUUAAAGUGAAAUGACAAAAAGUCGGCCCAUUGGACUCCUAAUCUUGGCCGAAUUUAUUAGAUCAACUAACACUAAAUUAAGCAAGGUAAGUUAACAUUUAAACCUUUGCUUAGACACCAAACAAACGACUUAAAUGAACUAAAAUAGAAAUUGAAUGCUCCAAAUUUGGAAAACUCCCAACUAGACUUCACUCAGCUCAAAGACUUGAAUUAGGGUGUAACGAAUUAUUUCUUCCUUCUCAAGCUCAUGAAUAACGUUUGCAUGGUCAACUCCAUCAUGUAUGGUACGAACUAGGGCUUGUAUUGAUUCCUUAAACUUCUUGGCACUUGCUCUAGGCAUUGGACCACCUAACUCCGCUUGGACUACACUUGAAGUGUCUUGGUCAACCGUCCCUCUUGCAUCAUUCCCCUCCUCUUGAAGGCGAUUUGUCCUCAAAUCAAACUCAUCGUCUGCUAGAUAAGGACUCAAGUCAGUCAUAUUGAAAGUUGCGUGGACACCGUACUCACCUGGUAGGUCCAACUUGUCAGCAUUAUCAUUAAUGCGCUCCACCACUUAGAAAGGUCCAUCACCUCUAGGCAAGAGUUUGUUGCGUCGUUGUACCGGGAACUUUCUUUGCGCAUGUGAAUCCACAUCCAAUCACCUGACUCAAAAAUCAUCUUGUGACGACCUUUGUUAGCAUGGCGAAUAAAUUGAAACGUUAUUUUCUCAAUGUUAUCUCUUACCUUUUGAUGCAAGGCAUGCAAUUGUUCCGCUUGUUUCAAUCCAUCCAUAUUAACUCUCUCAGACAUAGGUAAAGGAGAUAAGUCUAGAGGUGUGAGAGGGUUAAAACCAUAAAUAACUUCAAAUGGUGAGGAUUGUGUGGUGCUAUGGACUAUGUGGUUAUAAACAAAUUCAACAUGUGGCAAACAAUCUUCCCAUGAUUUAGGAUUUUUUUUUAUGAUAGCACGUAACACGGUAGAGAGUGUCCUAUUAACUACUUCAGUUUGACCAUCAGUUUGGGGGUGAUUGAAAGUAGAGAACAAGAGUUAGUUCCUAGUUUACUCCAUAAAGAUUUUCAAAAAUAACUAAGAAACUUGACAUCUCUAUUACUAACAAUAGUGCAUGGUAUUCCAUGCAAUUUGACUAUUUCCCUAAAGAACAAAUCAACUACAUACUUAGUAUCGUCAAUUUUAUGAUAGGGAAUGAAAUGUGUCAUCUUGGAGAAACGAUCAACAAUCACAUAAAUAGAAUCAUGUCCAUGCCUAGUUCUAGAUAAUCCAAGUACAAAAUGCAUAGAAAAGUCAACCCAUGAAAUAGUAGGAAUAGGUAAUGGGGUGUAAAAUCCAUAAGGGUUUAUCUUAGAUUUGGCAUGAUGGCAAGUUACACAUCAUUGAGCAAUGCGUUCCACAUCACGCCUUAUUUUUUACCAAUAAAAGUGCUCUUGGAGGAUAGACAAUGUCUUAGCGACUCCAAAAUGCCCCAUAAGACCCCUACCAUGCGCCUCCCUAACAAGUAAGUAGUUCUCGCAUAGAACAAGAUGGUAUGCACAACUUGUCCUUGAAAACAAAUAAUCUUGGAAAAUAUAGUAAUUCUCACGGUCAAGCCGUGGAAGAUCAGUAAAGAUAGCUCCAAAAUCAGGGUCGUUAGUGUAAGCAUCCUUAGUCAACUCAAACCCUAGUAAUUUGGCAUCAAGAGUGGUAAUAAGAGUGUACCUUCUAGACAGUGCAUCCGCUACCACAUUACUUUUUUCAGCCUUAUACUUGAUCACGAAUGGGAAACUAUCAAUGAAGACUACCCAUUGUGUGUGUCGCUUGCUCAAUUUGUUUUGAGACUUGAGGUGCUUAAACGACUCGUGAUCCGUUUGUAGAACAAAUUCUUUAGGCCUUAAAUAGUGCUGCCAUGUCUGCAAGGCCCUAACUAAAGCGUAUAGCUCUUUGUUAUAUAUGGAAUAGUUCAACAAUGUGCCAUUUAGUUUCUCACUAAAGUAGGCGACCGGCUUUCUUUCUUGUAGUAACAUGGCCCCGACACCUAUACCAGAUGCAUCACACUUAAUUUCAAAUGUUUGAUCAAUAUUAGGCAAUCUAAGUAUAGGUGCAUGUGUGAGUUUGUGUUUGAGUAAUUGGAAGGACUUAACUUGUUCAUCUCCCCAUUGAAAUGCUUGGUUCUUCUUGAUGAUGCAAGUAAGUGGGGCUACAAUGGUGCUAAAGUUUUUGACAAACCGACGAUAAAAGGUAGCCAACCCGUGGAAACUUCUUACUUCACUAAGAGAUGUAGGGGUCGGUCACUCCACUAUUACUUUCACCUUAUCUUGAUCAACGUGUAUGCCCUGCGCGCUCGCAACAUACCCUAGGAACACAAUUUGAUCAGUGCAAAAAGUACACUUUUUAAGAUUGGCAUACAAUUAUUCCUUUCGAAGAACCUCCAAAACAGCCUUGACAUGCAUGACAUGCUCAUCUAAAUUCUUACUAUAAAUAAAAAUGUCAUCAAAGUAAACGAUUACAAACUUACCUAAGAAUGCAUGUAAGACAUGGUUCAUUAUUCUCAUAAAUGUGCUAGGUGCAUUAGUCAAUCCAAAUGGCAUAACCAACCAUUCAUAUAAAUCAUACUUAAUUUUGAAGGCAGUCUUCCAUUCAUCCCCUUCUUUCAUUCUUAUCUGAUGGAUAGCCACUUUUUAGAUCAAUUUUAGUAAAAAUUAUAGGUCCAUGAAGCUCAUCUAGCAUGUCAUCUAGUUUAGAAAUAGGAUGGCGAUACUUUACCGUUAUAACAUUUAUGAUACAACAAUCGGUGCAUAUCCUCCAAGUUUCAUCUUUCUUGGGCACAAGUAGAAUUGGAACGACACAUGGACUCAAGCUUUCAUGUACCUAUUUUUUAUCCAAAAGUUCACCUACUUGGCGCUCCAUCUCCUUAGUCUCCUUAGAAUUGCUCUUAUAAGGUGGUCUAUUAAGUAAGGUUGCCUCAGGGAUGAGAUCAAUUUGAUGCUCAAUUCCCCUUAAUGGAGGUAAACCACUAGGUACAUCCUCAGGGAAGACAUCUUGAUACUCCUGAAAAAGAUUAGCAAUAGAACUAGGUAAGGAAACAUCAAGUGUGUCAGUCGCAUGUACUCCUUUACAUACGAGAAGUAAUAGGAUAUGAUCAGAAAACAAGGUCUUUCGCACAUUUUUGACUUUUGCCAUUAACAUUUGUUUCCUCUCUUUUUUUAUCUCUCUAGCCGAGAUUCUUUCUCCAUUUUCCCUUCAAUUUUGCCUCGGCUUAACUCACAUUUUCCCCUAUUCUCUCGAACUUUAUCCUUUCUUUCUUGUCUUUUCUUUUUCUCAAGUUCUAAUUUGAAUUCCCGUUGAAGAGUAGCUUGAUUCUCAUGCACUUGUUGAAGUAUAAGAGGCACAAGUACAAUCCUUUUAUUACAAUGGGAGAUGGGAGAACGAAUAUUUAUUAGUGUAACCAUCCCAACUAAAUUUCUUGUCGAAUUUCCAAGGUCGGCCUAAGAUAAUAUGAGCAGCUUGCAUAGGCACAACAUCACAUAAAACCUCAUCAACAUAUCUACCAAUGUGAAAAGAAACUAGGAUUUGUUUAAGUACACGUAUCUCUCCACUAUUGUUGAGCCAUUGCAACUUGUAGGGAUUGGGAUGGUUAGUAGUAGCUAGGCUCAAUUUCUCCACCAUGUGUGCACUCGCUACAUUAGUACAGCUUCCGGGGUCGACCACCAAGUUACAAACUUUGUCCUUGACAUGACAACGUAUGUAGAAUAUAUUUUCACGUUGUAGAUCAUCCACACUAACUUGAGUAGCUAAUGCACGUCGAGCUACUAAACCAACUCGAUCUAGUGUAGGCUGCUCCUCCUCGGUCUCCUCUCCUCCAUCAUCAACCAAAGGCGGCAUCUCCUUGUACUUGUUCUCGUCAUCGGUUAGCACUUCUUCAUUGGACAACAUGAGCAUGACCUGUUGAUUUGGACAUUGGGAAGCAAUGUGUCCAAACUCUCGACACUUAAAACAUUUAGUGUCUCAAUUUUUCGGUUUAGGUGUUUCUUGAUUGGCCUUAAAUCCUCCCCUUUGUAUUGCCUUGGAAGAUGAAGUAUUCGGCCUCAAAGCUCCACUCGAAACUCCACUUGGUUUGGCUGAAUUUUGUGCAAUCGAAGGGCUGAUCUCACCCUUUAUGGUCGAAUUUCUCCAAUUUUCAUAUUGGAAAUUGGAGUUUUGGCGAGUUGUACCCCUCCUCUUGAGCUUCCUUUCCACCUCGAUAGUUUUGUCCAAUAGUUCCCCCAUGUCAAAAUAGUGUUGAAGCUCUACAACAUUUACAAUUUCGGCCCUUAAUCCCCUCAAGAAUUGAGCCAUGAUUGCCUUCAAAUCUUCAUGAACAUCAACCCUCACCAUUGCCAUUUUCAUCUCUUUGAAGUAAUCUUCAACCGUCAUACUACCUUGAGUGAGAGUUUGCAAUUUAUGGUGCAAAUCCCUAUGAUAGUAACGAGGUAUGAAGCGCUUUUUCAUGACCCUUUUUAACUCUUCCCAAGUUCGGAUGGUUGGCUCCUCAUUCCUCCUUUGUUUGAUGCGAAGUUGAUCCCACCAAAUAGCUGUGUAGUCCGUGAAUUCUAUGGCUGCCAACUACACCUUUCGAGGCUCCGUGUAGUGGUUACAAUAAAAAAUCAAUUCAAUCUUUCUUUCCCAAUCCAAGUAUGUUUCGGGAUCCGAUUUGCCUUGGAAUGUGGGGAUUUUUAGUUUUAUCCCCUUUAGUUGAUCAUCUCCAUGUUUAGCUCGAUGUUUAUCCUCCCUCGGCCUUUGCUCUUCUUCCUUGAACUCUCUCUCCGAAUUGGAGUCACUGAGUUCAUGCAUGAGAAAUUUUCCUCUAGUUUUCUCGAAGGAGUUCUUUGAUGAAUCUAUUUGUUCGAUUUGCUCCUGGAUGGACUCGAACUUGUGAUUGAAUUUCCUUUGUAUUUCGGUCCACAUAGCAUCCAUUUUAAAUGCUAAUUGUGCAAUGGUAAGUUCAUUUUUGUGAGCCAUGUUUAUAAUCAUGCAAAACUUAACAAACGUUAGUCGAAAAUGCCUCUCUCACUCCCUUACGUGUUUCACUCGCACUCGUGUAUCACUCAAGUGUAUAAGUCACUCUAAUGAUCUCACCAACACCUCUCAAGUCAGUGAAUUGUCCCUCUUGAAGAAGUAGAAUUCCUCAAUGAGUAUCAAUCAAACUUCUCUCCAAGUUACACCAACGGUGCAGCGAUUGUUGGCUGGAAUUUUUUUUGAGGGUAGUAGUUGAUUUUGAUUGACUCAAAAGGACUUAAAAACAGGCUGGGAAAUGACUAGACUUGGCCGAGCAAGUAGACUCGAAAUUUAGAAACUUUUGGACCAUGUCUAGUGACUCAAUUUAGGAAACUAAUUACCCAAAUUAGAAAACUAGGAAAUUAGAUGGACGACCAAGAUUGAUUUAGACCUCUUUUGUGGACCUUUAGACGUUGUUAACAGUUUGGAAAGACACCCUACAACCUCAAAUUCGUGGCUGGAUAAAUUACACCAAUUUGACAAAGAAGCGGCAGAAAUUUGGAAACCUAGACGUUACUCUACCCGACUUGCAUUUGGGCUGGUUUUGGUAAGUUCCUACAAGGUUUUUCUUGGAAUUGUUUUUGGCAAGAAUAGUUGCUGGUUUGGGAAGUUUUUCACGGUGCAAUUAGUUUUAGAAAGGUUCAGAUUUGGUAGUAUUUGAUGGUGACUAGGAUUUGUUUUACAGACCCAAGUCAACUUGGAUCCCCAAAUCAAGUUACCUUCCUUGAUCCGAUUCUGUUUUCUUCCUUUUUCUUGCAUUUUCCUCCUUUUUUUCUGAUUCUUUUUUUUUUAUAAACGCAAAAUAGAUUUGUCUCUUUUUUUUUCCUUUCAAGUCGGAUCAAGCUCAAAGAUCAAGAAUGGGUUGGGUUAUGCACACAAGCAGCCGCUAUUUUGGUUCAAGAAACAAAAACUUGGGUAAUGUUCAAGAAUUGGUCAACCUUGUUUCAAGAAUUCAAAAAACCUUAGAUACCAAUCCCAACACUCCAAGAUAUAUCAAGAACUUCCAAGAAACAAGGUAAAUAGCCUCGAUUUUAGUGCAAGACACAAAUCCUAACCCAUUGGCCAAGAAAGACCCUAGUUUAACCGCAAAUCUUCAAAACAAAUACGAUCAGAUUUUUUUUUAACUCUUAGAUGGCAUCAAGACCUAGAAACAUGAAUAACAAGGAGGCCCAACAAGAUCAAAACAAAAACACAAUGCAACAAGGAAGACUUCAGACUAGGGGUGCAAACGAGGCGAGUCGAGUCGAGUUUUGGCCUAAUUGAGUCGAGCCUUCAGUUAAUUUUAUGAAAUUCGAACUCAAGUUCGAGUUCGACGAGCUCAAAAUGUCAAGUUCGAGCUCGAGGUUAAAAAAUAAAAAUAAUAAUUUUUUAACAAAUAAUAAAACAUUAGGGAUAUAUAUGUAAUUUUACUAUUAAAAUAAAAAAAUAUAUAAUUGAGCUCGCGAGCCAACGAACUUAAUGUUUUUGAGCUCGAGCUCGUAUUCAAUUGGCUCGUGAGCAGCUCGAUUCGUGAACAACUCUAUUUCGGACAGCCACAAAACAAACGACAACAACUACUAUGCGGAUUAAACAAGCAUAAACGACGACGACAAUCUAGUGGAACGACUAACAAAGGCAAACGACCAGAUUUGAAAAACACAAGGAAAACUUACAAGACUUGACAAGAUAUACUUGAUAACGUCAACUAGCUCUGAUUACCAUCUGAUACAAAUCCACCCGAAGGUAUGAACUCGUAUCCCACGUAGUCCCGGAUCUAGACGAAGAAAAUCAAGUUGAGUUGUGGAAUAACACUUGACCCUUCUAACCCUAGAUUGCGAACUUUGAAUUGAAUCUCAACCCACAAUCAAUCGAGUAAGUGAACCAAUGUUAAGAGUAGGAGAACACUACAACCAAGAUGUGUACUUAAUUGAUAAGUUCGAGGAAUACUCUCGAGUAAUUCUCAAGUAUUCAAAAAAUACUCUCUUGGACAAGAGAAAUGAUGUUUAACACACAAAUCUGAUAUAUUCCAAAACUAGAGAAAUGUUGGGAGUAUUUGGCUAUUUAUAGCUUUACAUAAACUCAAGACCUAAUGUGAUUUGAAACCACUUAUUACCUAAAGUUAAAUGACAAAAAGUCGGCCCAUUGGACUCCUAAUCUUGGCUGAAUUUAUUAGAUCAACUAACACUAAAUUAAGCAAGGUAAGUUAACAUUAAAACCUUUGCUUAGACACCAAACAAACGACUUAAAUGAACUAAAACAGAAAUUGAAUGCUCCAAACUUUUGAAACUCCCAACUAGACUUCACUUGGCUCAAAGACUUGAAUUAGGGUGUAACGAAUUGUUUCUUCCUUCUCAAGCUCAUGAAUAACAUUUGCAUGGUCAACUCCAUCAUGUAUGGUAUGAACUAGGGUUUGCAUUGAUUCCUUAAACUUCUUGGCACAUACUCUAGUCAUUGGACCACCUAGCUCCACUUGGACUACACUCGAAUUGUCUUGGUCAGUCGUCCCUCUUGCAUUAGGGAUCCGUUUGUUUGGUUCGUCUCAAGAAUGCACAUGUAACUCAAGUCAGUCGAUCAUGCAUGUGGAUAACAUAUUCUCAAAAUUGGGUAGUGUAUCUCAUACACUAACCGUUGAGUUAAUUUUUGGGAUAAUUUCAAUAACCUCCCUUGAGGUUUUUAACAAUUUCAUCUAGUUCUCUUGAACUUUGAAAAAUUACAUGUACCUCCCCCGAGUUUAUUGUUUCCGCAACAAAAACCAUUUAAUGGUCAAAAUUUUGAUUGAAUAAUCCAAAAUGCCCUCAUGAAAUUGUGAAAUUCAUUUUACCUUCUUAUAAAAUUAUUCAAAAACUAUGGAACAUGCACAAAAUUUCAAACUCAUUUUCAACCCCCAUCUCUACUAUUUUAAACCUUUUCAUAUUAUCACAUUUCAAAUUAGUACUAUUAUCACUAUGACUAUUACUACCAUCAAUUCCUAAAUUCUAAAACCUCAAUCGAAAUUUAAAAAAUUUGUAUUGCUAAACUCAAAAAAUUUUAAUAACCACAUCAAUAUAACAUCCUAUCCUUCAACUAUUGGAGUAUCAAUACCAACCCUAUCCUUUUUAAAUCCAAUUUACAUAGUCUUCUAUUUAUCUUCAGAUCCUCCAAGUAAAGCUAAAAUUAAUUUUUAAUAUAUUAUUAUUUUAUUUAGGACAUGAUCGAUUAUUCCACGAGUGAAUUUUAUUUUUGUUUCCAUUAAAUGUCUAAUUGUGUGACACAUUCAUAUGAACAAGAUUAGUAAUGAAUUGUUUAAUUGAAUGAAAAAAAAUAUUAAUAUAUUAAGACUAUUAUGGUCAUUUUAUAGGGCCAAAAGAGGUAUGUGUAAUAUUGAAAACCUCAAGGGUACUAUGUGAAAUUGUUAGAAACCUCAAGGGAGAUUUUUGAAAUUAUCCCUUAAUUUUUCACUAACUAGUGAGUUAAAGGCUUAGGCCCACAUUUUUUUACUAGUAAGAUAACUUUUGUCAGAUAGAGAAAAUUGAAUUUUGAUGAGAAAUACAUUUCAUUUUGGAUAAGUGAUAAUACAUUUGGGACGAACCAAAAAGGAAAGCAUGGUACAAACAUCUUAACAAACACUAAAUGGACAAGUAAACAUCUUAAAUGAAUUUUAGCAAGAGAAAGGUUGAAAUUCUCUAUUUCAAUCAAAUUUAACCAUUGUCAUAAGCUAGUUUCAAUUUCUCAAAGCCUACACUUCACCAAACAAACAAACAUAUGAAAUCGGAAAAUGCUAAUGCUUUCGAUCAAUAACUUGUGUCAUAACAUUUCUUCUGGUUAUAAAUCUUAACACCUUGUAGAGAAAAAAGAUGAUGAGUUCACCAAUGAUAUGGAUUCACACAAAUUCCUAGACUUUAAAAUUUCAACCUACUCCAAGAUGGUAGAGGCAGGUGGUGACCUCAUCAAACAACCCGGACAAAGCCAAUGGGUAUGACUACCUGCACUGGUGGCUAGAAGGUGUCAGGAAGAACUGGAACCAAGUGAGGAUGCAGAAGCUAUCAGCAAGGAACGUGAAUAGGAAGAGAAGCACAACGUUGGAUGAGCAAAGGAAUAAGGAGAGAAAGAUAAAGAAGGCGUAUCAAGAGAGGAUGAAGGACCUUAAGGAGAAGAUAAAGGCAAAACAAGGUGCGGAAGAGAAAGAAGAUGGAGUAGAGAGAGAAGAGAAAACCUUACCAUUAUUGACCACAUACUAGGCUUUGUGCCCUGCAACUUCUAUGAGGCGUCGAUUAGUGAUUAUAUUAGGGUAAUGUAAGAUUUAUUUAAUACGUAUAGUUAGAUUGUUGUGUAUGAUAGGAGCAUACAUUGGAUUGAUUUUUUUUAUAAAUAGAUAUAGUAAAAUUGAUGUGAUCUGUAUUGUGUUUUUUAAAAUUAAUAUGAUUUAAGCAUUUGACAGAUAAUAUUGGUAUUAAAAAAUUAAAUUGUUUUUUAUUUUAAUUUAGUGGUAAGUAAAUGUUAUUUAAAUUAAUGGAAUAUAUAUUAUUUUUUAAAAGUUGAUAGGACAAAGAAUUAAGUGGAGAAUUACAUUGAGAGUGUUAUAAUUUGGACGUUGUGUGAUGAGAUAAAUUAAUAAUUUGGAAUAACUUGAUAUUGUAGAUUGGUAACAUAUGUGUUUGUUAAUUAAGUAGGUUUUUUUUCAAUAAGUGAAGAUGAUAUUGAUUUAGUUAUGAAUGAAUGUGUUUGAAAUUGAUGGAAGUUAUAUUUUUUAAUUAAUAGAGUUUGAAUAAGUGAGGGAUAAUAUUAAUUUUGAGAGCUGAGAGAUUUUAUAUUAAUACUUUAUUGAUAAAUGGAUAUUAUUGAAAGUAAGGUGAUGUGUAUAGAUUUUUUUAUAAGAAACAGAAAUGAUUGCAUAUGAAAAUUAUAGAGUUUAAUUACAGUAAUUUGCAGUAGAAUUUUUAAAUAUUUAUUGUUUGAUGUUUAUGUGACUUAUUUUAUGUUACUUAAAGUUGUGGUGAAUUUGUAUUGAUAUGUAGAUAUAGGUAUAUAACAUAAUUUUUAAUAUGCAUGUGUGUGUGUGUGCAUGUUUAGUAUUUUAUUUGAGGUGAUAUAAUGGUUUGAUUUUUUUUAGUGUUUAGAUUUUUUAUGGUUUUGUCUGUUUGUUAUAUUUUAUUUUUUGUUUAUUUACAUAUGUAUAUAUAUAUAUGGAUUUUUGAUACUUUAUUUGAGCUUGUAUGAUUGUUUAAUAUUGUUUUAGUGUUUAUAUCUUUUCUAGUUUUGUUUGUUUGUUAUAUUUGUGGGUUCUUAUUUGUGUUGUGAUCCAUGUGUGAAUAUGAAUUUUUUUUGAGUUGCAUCAUGUAUAUUUUUGUCAAUAUAUAUAUAGGGCCAUGGUUUUAAAUAUUUGUAUGUAAAUUUGUGGUAGUUUGGCUAUUUUUGUUAUAGUUUUGAAGAAAAUUUUAUCUUUUUUAUUUUUUUUAGUAGUAUAUUUUUGAAUUUUUGAAUUUUUUAAGUGGGUUGUUUUUUGGGUAUAUUGUAAAGUUGGAUAAUGAGAGAAAUUUAAUAGUUGGUGAGAAAAUUCUGAUUUUAUGUAUAUAUUUUCCUAUAUUUUCUAGACAAUCAAUAUUUUUGUCCAUACAUAUAUAUAUAUUGUAGAAAACUAAUAUAAAUAAAAACGCACACAAAGAAAGUACAAGGAUACAUAAAUUAUAUAAAUUUGUAUAACGGAGGCCAAAAAAAUUUGCAUCUGCAUCGCGGAAUUGAGGGUGGCAGCUGCAGUGGUACAACAAAUAAAAGGACAAAAUUGACAAUGAAAUUACAAAGAAACCAGGACAAAAGGGCAUAAUUGAAAUAAUUGACAAAAGAAAAAAUGAGAAAGGAAGCAACAACAAACAAAGCGGUUCACAGGAGGCCCCAUAUAAUGCUAAAAGACAGGAAAUGCCAAAAUCAGGCCCAAAAUCACACUGAAAACAGGACAAUUCACUAUAGGUGAAGCCUCGGCGCUUUAUGUAGUUUAAGAUAAGAUAAGAUACUAUCCAACAUAAUAAUCACACUUUCUCAAGUAGUUGCAAAAUUGAUACUAUUCACCAUCUCCGAAAUUUUUACACCGCAAGCAAUCUUUCACAACAUAAAUAGUCUACUGCGAUUUACUUUGAGAAAUAGAGGUGAUAUUGCUACGAUUAAUUUAUUACAAAUAUGUAUAAAAGAGGGAAUGCCAUGCUUCAAGAGUGUGUACUGUUGAUGAUGUGGCAAAACGUGAUUGGUUGGAGAGUGUUCGUCCAACUUCAGCUCCAAUUGGUUUCCUUUUCGUUGUUGUUGUUUCAUUCUGUCCUUGUUUGUUAGUUCUUAGCAGACUAAGACUAUAAGGCCUCGUUUUCAUGAGUGUUUCUUUUUUGCUUUCUGCUAUAUAUUCAUUAUAAUUACUCCCUCUGUCCCAAUGAAUCUGUCGUGCUUUGGGAAUCCCACAUUUUUUCAACAGUGCUCCGAUUUCAAAAGGUAAUGGGUUAUGUUCCAAGAAUGCCCCGGUUGAAUUAGCUAUGCAGCCUGACGUGUUGCUCCAUUGAUGGUAGGAUAGAGUAGUGAUAUGAUUGUGGGACCCAUACAUAUGAUAUAUUUUCAAGCCCUUUUGGAGAAAGUGCAAUGCACGAAUCCUGCUGGUUCUAACGUGACACUCACACACCAUCACAUGAAAAUUCUCUAUUUCACAGGUGAACUUUGGGGCCCACUAAAAUAUAAGAAUCUUGUUGUAAGAUUUAAGGGUAUCAGUGGAAAUCGGUGAAAGUUUUUAUUACCAUUAUUGGUAAGUGACACUAAUUUUGGGACGGACUAAAAAGGAAAGCAUGACACUUCUAAUGGGACGGAGGGAGUAUAAUAAUAUAUACAUAUAGGACUAGAACUGAGGCUGCAAUAUUAGGAUAGUACUGAUAAUGUGAGGAGGAAAAGAGUGGUAAGAGUAGUUGUUAUGACACAUUGUAGCAGGUGUGAUAUGUCUUCUUGAAUGACAAAGGUUACGUGGUCAACUAAAUAAAGGGAAACUGAAAUGACAAUUUUACCCUGACUAUUAUGAUGCUAUUACGGAUUCUUCACUAAAGCCCAUGUUGUAUUCAAUGGCCUGUUAGUGUAAAAUUUUCUUUGUAAACAUUGUGCAAUCCUGACAAAGAAUGAAUUGCCGCUCUUUCUUCUUUGCUUUCAGUUGAUGACGAGACUGAUGAAAAUUUUUUCGUACAGUUUUCGUGAGUUCAUCGCCGGUUUCCUGUUGGAUUUUGGAAGUCCUGCAUUAUGGUCAGUGUUGUUUGUAUUAGUCUUACUUGUUGUUCUCUUUUCUUUUUUCUUUCAUGAACGAUGAACUAAUCUUCUUCCUGCUUAUUUUCCUGGCCUUCCUUUGUAUUGCUUUGUUGUUGCCUUGCUGUUUAGAAGCUUGCUUGCAUCUCUGCAACUUUCGGUUAGCUGCUGGUAGGCAUGCUCUGCUGCAUGUUAUGAAUUUCCCAUUGUUUUUUUCCCUUUGCUUUGUUUUCUGUUCACGCUUUAUCUUUUUUUUUGCCUUUCUCACCAUUUUUUAUUACCUCUGUAUUGCUUUUUGGAAUCUUUUUCUUCCUCUUGCUUAGAAGAUCCUCUGCUAUACACGACUUCUCAAUCCUUCUGUUCUUUUGUUGCUUUUGUUCUCUUCGGAUUCUCCUGUCAAUCCCUCAUUUUUUAGUUCAGGUUAGUAUCUUUCUUGUUUUAUGCAUUGUCUACAUGUUUCGAAAUUGUUUGUUCCUCUCCGUUGUACUUUGUCUUAUGUUACGUUUGCUUCUCACUUCUUUGUCUCUUGUUUUGACAGCAAGAGAUUCUGUGCGUCUUGUUGUUGCUAUUUUAUUGGCUGAGGUGUGGCUGCUUGCCUGUUUGCCUGAGGUGGUGUUACUUCCCUUCUGCUUCUUUUUCCUUGACUUUUUCUUACUAUGUCCCUAUGCUGUUACUGGUGGGUGUCAAACCUCCAAAAAUAAAGUUAAAAAUAACAGCCUAAUUGCCAACCAACACAAUCUCAAAUUUUAUUCGUAAACAGGGCAAGUAGGGUCGUCUCCUCAGGGAACUGGUAGGCAAAUCACACAGGAAAAUGGGGGGGAAUUUUUAGCAAUAGUAUCAACUAAUUAAAAAGGAAUAAAAACUGAAAUUCAAAGUUGAGUAAGAUAGCGAGAACCAAAUUACACAAAUAAUAAUUAAUUAAAACAAUCUAGUCAAGGAAUUAAUCUUGGAAUCCAAGCACACAACUGAUCACAGAUACAAGGGACAAUUCAUAUACUCACGAAUAAACUGGUUAUAGUGGUCAAGCGAUGCGCCCAACCACCAAUCUUUUCUUAAUUUUAUGGUAGUCAAGAGACGCUCAUAAACUACCCUCUUGUGACUAGACAACCCCAGAAACGCUCACAAGAUUUAAUGUAGCCACAGUAUUAGGAAUUAGAAAGACCCAAUUCUAAAUGACAAACACACAUGCGGAUUUGUUUAGGCUAGAUUAAUUAUCCCCACGAUCCAAAUUAGACCGCUUGCGAGGCGGUGCAAUUGUCUCGUUUGCCACUAAUCAAGAUGCUUAAAGGCGACGCGCCAACAUCCUAAUUGGCUAUCAAUUAUUUAGACAAUCGAAUAACAGGUCUAAUUAUCCAAUAAAUCUAAACAAUAAUAACUCAGGGAAAAAAUAGAGAAUAAUCAAAUACCCAUGAACAUAUAAAUUAAAAAUAAGCAAUUAAAACGAUCUCACAGUUAUGGUGCCCCGAUCCUCGAUUUAUUCCUCAACUAGAUAAACGAUCUAGUCUUGCCGCAUAGUCAUGACAACAAAGUCAAUCAAAGUUUUCAUGGAGUUUUGUUAAUUGAAGAAGGAGUAAAAGAUUUUUCGCCGCUAGUCUCCUAACAAAGAAGAAAACAAAAGUAGAGAAAAAGUCCAAGUCCAAGAUCCAUCCCUAGUCUAUUGCUGUCUUCUUUUUAUUGUUUGCGCCGCCGUUUCCUUUUUGCUAGCCGAAAUAAUAUGUGGGUUUAUUCAAACAAUUUGCUUCCUUUUCCCCCAUUGGAUUGUUACCAAAAGUCAUCUUCCAAUUCUAUUUCCUAAUCCCACGUAAGUUUAAAGUAUGGCUCCAAGGAAAGGCGGUGGCCCCAGGAAUAGGACCCGCAAUCCGGAUUUUUCACGCAACUCUGCGUUGUCUGGCGUGGGCACGCCAGAGAAGGCGCAGUCUUCUGGAAUUUGCCCUUUUUUAUCACUUUUAACACCAAUUGCCUAUAAGUAACACAAAUACCCAUUAUGAGCAGAAAUCCAAUACUUUGCAUAAUAAACUGCCAAAAUUAAGACCAAAUAACCACAAAUAAAAUGCAUAAUUAUAUCCCUAUCAAAUUCUCCCACACCAAGACAAUGCUUGUCCUCAAGCAUUUCAAACUUUAAAUACACAACCCAACGAGCAAACAUUUUUACAGCAGUUGAAUUCAAAACAAUGGCUAUUAAUCAAAGCAACUAUUGCCAAUGUAUGAUUUACAUAACUAUCAAGUACUGAUGACAAAAUUUACGAGAUAACUCUCCAACUAGCUUUUCAAACCAAUGACUCUUUCAAAUCCAGAAUAACUAAUCUAAGAAUAGAAAAUAUCCAACCAACAUUCUUUAAUAACUGGUCCAAUUAUUAAGCAAAAUCUCAACAUAAAGACUCAUGGAUCCGCAGGCAAUACAAUUAUUCACAUACUUUCAUGCUCGUAUACUUUUUUUCUUUUUUUUUCAUCAUUUUCAUUUUUUUUCCUGUUUCUUUUUCCAUUUUUUUUUCUUGAAGGAAGUGCUUAGUCUUGAGCCAUUCAAGUCUUUUGACGCGAACUCCGACAUCUCUCCAAUGAAGGAGCCCGGUUACUCAACUUUAACCGCUUAAAGACCACAUACUCAUAGUUAUCGCUGCUUUUUGACGCGAAAAUCGACACUUUAGGUGAAAACCCCCGGUUACUAGUCAAUGAUAACCAGCGGAGUAUAGCCGAAUAUUAUUCACAAAAAAACACCCAAGUAAAAUUAAAACCAUGCAAGCCUGCUUCAUUUCCUUAACAUGGAGAACUAAGAUUAAUAGUUGAACCAGUUCACACAAAAAAUGUCAGAAAAAUAUUUACAAUGCCUAGAAAAGUUAACCAAAAGAAAUUGCAAGAGUCACAAAAUCUCAAAUAUUUACCAAAGAGUCAUCCUAAAAUUUUACCAUAUCAUACUUAACAUAUUAUCAUCUAAAACCGUAACAAUAGUUAAAUUUGAAAAUCUAGCCAUUGCUUAUCAGGGCUAACCACAAAAAUCCAAAAGGCAUGGUAAAGGUUUCUUUUUUUUUUUUUUUGGCAGAAGGAAAAGCUAGACUACUCCCCCCACACCUAAAGUCUACAUUGUCCUCAAUGUAAGAACGAAAAGUUGAAGUCAAGUGAAGGGAGCAAAAAACUUCCCUGAAUGAAUAAAAACUGCAACAAAACACCAUGGUAGAGGAGGUGUCAGGGACUGGCAGCGUGGAGCCUGCGACGGUAGUGUGGUGUAGCGUUGCUUCAGAUGGAAGCGGAAGUCUUCAAUCCAAGCCUGUGUCCCCAGAGUUGACUAGAGUUGCUGUAAGGCGUGACCACGCCUUAUAAGGCAGAGUCUUCUGCCCAAGCAUUUCUACGGUGUUCAAGAGCAUCACUUAUAGGGCGUGGGCAUGCCUUGUAAAUCCAAGUCUCCUGCCCAACACCAAAAAAAAA